UAAAAAAUAGGUUAUUGCAUCCACUAGCAAACCGUGGAAAAAGAACCGCACCCACUACAAGCAAACAAAUAAGUAAGACAACAAGGAAAUAAAUAAGCAAGCAACUUACGCUAGGCUAUCAUGGCUAUUACACAUAUUACAUCCACUCGGCAUCAAAGUUCGCCACCAGUGCAAAUAAACGCGUCGACAAAAGAAUAUACAAACACGAGAGCACUUUAGAAGGCACUAGGCCUGGCUAGGAUGGGCCCCGCAAGCAGCUGAACAAGCUGAUGAGACCUCAGUUGUGUCAAUGAUAAUGCUUCAUCCCUAGUUGUAUGGCACCAUAGUGCGCAAGGCAGUCCUCUGACAUCUUCAUUACAUCUUUGACUUCAAGUCAGAGCUGAGCUGAAGCAAGCCUUUCCACUUUAAGUUGAGACUGAAGAAGUCAAACUGAUUGAGGCAGCGACUGCAUAGAGGUUGUCUCACACCUGCUGGUGAGUAGCUUCAACUCUCUCUUCAUCAAGACAGGACCCUGGGGUCAUCUUGCUGUCCUCAAGAUUGUUUGGCUCACAAUCUUCCCUAAAUUUCUGCCUGGCAUAAGAGAUACGAGUUUGAAAGAGAAACAAGGAGACACGUAACAUGUUUCACAAUUAUAUAAGCAAAUAAAUGGAUCUGUUCUGCAUAAGGAACAUGUUUUUGCAACUAUAAUUUAAAACUGGUAGUUGUUGCAAACAUCCAAUCAAAUGUAAAUAGCAAAGUAAACUAUAGUGGAGGAAAUGAUGCCUCCCCAAAUCUAUACUAGAACAAAGUUUGAAGGCUUGAGAAGGAUGAACUUACAUUACAUGUUAACACGGGCUGGACAAAGCUCUUCUCCAUGUUAAUGGAAGGAUAAUUCAAUAAAUUCCCCAAAGAAAGUUCUUUAUAUAUGUUGCCAUUAUUCUACAUUUUGCAAAGAGUAAAUAUGGAUCAAAUAAUAUUGGAAGAAACAAAGGAUAAUGAAGCUCAGGUGCAGACUGAUGAUAGAUAAUCAAAUAGCAAUUAGUUAAGUACAACGUUACAAGGCAAAAGGGCAAGAGGUACUGACAAGAGCAAUGUAGAGCCUAGUAUUGUUGUGGGAUCGUAUGAUCCUUUGAGCAAGGAGAUUCAUCUGAAAUUAGUUUUCAUACAAGAGAGAAGGUAAGGCACAUGCAGAAAUUUAGGAGUUCAAAUUUUGAAUUGAUAUCAUAGAUAGUACCUGACGCUAGGCUCUCAGCGGUUCUAAUAGGGGUUUGUCCACUGGAGUAGGGGUAAAGUGUGGUACAGUUGGGCAUGUGUUUUCUGUGGCUGCUGAUCUAUCUGAUUUAAUAGGUAUCACUACCUUUUCCAAAUACAUAGCUUGUACUCCUUGAGGAUAUGCACUCACCCUCUUCCUUUUGGACAUCUAUUACAAAAGAACAACAUUUGACUAGAAAAACAUAGUAGGACAACACAUGGAAUAGGUAGAGAAAAUGGAUAGAUAUGGCAUAUAGUCAUAUAUGAUGCUUAAACUAAGCAGAUGGUGUAAGAAAGUAGAAGUAAUGCAAGAGUUUAGAUGCAAAAUAUGUGCAACCAGUACAACCUUGCCAAGUUAGAGCAAGCACCUUGAUGGGUGAAUAAGAUAGGCCAUCCUCCAUCAUGCCAAGUUUGUUAGCCAGUGGAUUGUUCUGCAAUAUUCCUCUCGUGCGCCCAUUCUCAUAUUCAUUUUGAUAAUGUUCAAUACCUGACAUGCAUGAAAACAUAAAAACAAGUGAGAUUAUCUUUGUAAUGUAGAAGUGAUUCUAAUCCAAUAUUGCCUCCCUGUAACCCCUCUGUGCUAUCUCUACAAUUCUUCAAAGAGAGGACAUGCAUGCUAUAAUUUGGUGUGUGCAUUAAUAUAAUGUGGCCUACUACUCAAAAUAUGAGAGCUCCAGAAGUGAUGACACUUCGCAGAUGACAACUUCAACAUAUAGUAAAGAAGAACAAGUCGACCUGAACUAACAGAUUCAAAAUAUACUAAGGGAGAACAACUCGACCUAACCAGUCAACCGCAAGAGAAGAGGACCAUCUUAAAGAAGAGCAGAAGAGCAAGCAGAUUGAAGAUAUUACAAGUCUUUCUAUACAAUGUCGGUUGGCCACCCAUGAUGAACCAGAGCGCACAAAGAAAUAAUAUUCCUUCCGGUCUCUCCAUAUGUGGUUCACAUGCAUUUCGAAACUAAAGUAGGAACAUUUAGUUGACCAAUUAAACAUCUCUCAGUUUUACUAAUAUCAGCAUAACAUUAGAUUUGAAUUUGUACCACUAAGCUUGUUUAGCUCGAUGGGUGGAUUAGUGCUAUUACAACACGAACCACGUAGGCUGAUCGUGGUCACCAGAAAAUGGGGAAACCGUAAGGAUGAUGAGUAUAGUGUUGACCAUGGCAGUGGUAUGGAAGAUCUGAAGCUGCAAACCACACAAAGGGUAGUUAGCAACCGACGAUUGCUUUGAAAUAACAACUAAGAUUUGGUAUGGACAAGAAAGUAUAGUCAACAAGUGACAAUGAAAUGUAAUUUUGCUGUCUCUCUAUAUGUCGCGACAUGUAUUUGGAAACUCAAGUGGGACCUUUAGCUAACCAAUUAAAUAUGUCUGCUAACUAAUAUCAGUAUCAUAUCACAAUCAUAUUUGAACAACUAAGCUUUGGAAUUUUGAGCGUUGUGUUAUUUAGCUUGAAGGGUGGAGUAAUGCUAGUACGACAGAAAGCACCUAUGCAGGUCAUAGUAGAGUAGAUAAAAGGGGAAAACCCUAAGCAUCAAGAGUAAAAUCAGGAAAGUGGAACUAGCUGGACCAGUGGGUGGCGCACAUGCUUUUCGAAACGAAUAUAGGAACAUUAGGUGACCAAUUAAACGUUCUUUGUUUUAGUGAUAUGAGCAUCAUAUCAUAUUCAUAUUUCAACACGUAAGCUGUGUGUUGAGGUCUUGAGGAGCAGUGCUAGCAUGACACGAAGCACCUACGAUGAUGGUAGUGAAUAUAAAGGGGGGAAACCAUAAGCUUUACGAGUAUAGUGACCGUGCCAUGGCAGAUCUGAAGGUGCAAACCUGACAAAGCUACUUUGCAACCAAUGUUUGCUUUCAACUAGCCACUAUGAUUUUGUACAGACAAGAAAAGUACAGUAAACAAUUUACGAUCUAUUUUACGGGUGAGAUCAAUAACUUCAGCAUAUAUGGAAGAGUACCACCUCUCUUGCGACGCCGUGUAGGCUUCUGCUGAUACGUUGAGGGUGUUGCGGGUGCGAUGGCUAUCGGCGGCGGGGAAGAAGUCUUUAGACGGCAGACAGCCGGGUCAGGGGAUAAAUCAUGUUGUCGUGGAUGAGGUGGUUGUAGGAGUGGCAACAACAAGGUGGACGACGGCGCCUAUGAAGCGAGAGGACGCGACAAAAGGGUCCUGGUCCGGUGCCGUGGAUGAGAGACAUCCAUCUCUUGCAGUGGACGACGGGGUAGGGUAGCGGCUCCAGCAAGGUGGAGGACGGGGUAGUGGACAGAUGAGGCUGGUCGCAGUGGGGAGGUUGUCGUGGCGCCGACGGUGUUUGAAUGGGGAAAUGGAGGGGGAGGGGGGAUCUCAAACUUUGGGACGUGCUUGUCUGAAAUCUGGGAAAGUUACAAACUUAUCCCCCGUUUAAAAUUUCGGACAUCACGUCGAUUGGGGAUAGGACGGUAAUCUCGCAUCUCCCAAAUAUUUACCGGUAAUGAUUUUGGUCGAGGAGAGGAUGUUUUUCCGUCCACGUUUGGCACCCAUGGUGUAUGAACGGGGCUGAGAGGUAAGGCGGUUGUGCCACGUCUGAGGGAAGUUACACAUCUGCCCCUAUUUAAAAUAUUAGCCUACAUCGAUUUCGAACGAGAGAGUUUGUUUUGUCGCCCACCGUGUAUGAAUGGGGAAAUGGAGGGAGAGACACAUGUCUUUUGGACGAGCUUAAAUCAAAUGUGUUUUGCCUCCCAAGUUUGGGGCCACCAUGUCUGAAUGGGCUCAGAGGCUGUCGUGUCACGUCUGAUUGAAGUUACUAGUCUAGCCCUAUCAACAGCUGUGUAAAUCCGGACGAUAAGGAUGUCAAGUGUCAAUAGUUAUUUUCAUCCAAUACAAUAUGCUCAGUAGGUUGGAUACACUCUGAGUCAAAUAGUUAUUUCAUCCAAUACAAUAUGCUCACACGAAAAACAAUUCACCUUAUGUCAAUCAUACAAGUACUGAGUAUUACCUCACCUAAAAAAUUCGGAUCAUUACAACACAUAGACAACAUAGGGGGUCUUACAACAUAAUCCAUUCAGAGAAUGACACAACAUGCAAGUACAAUAAUGUAAUGACAAUUUCAACUGGUGUAUAAAGAACCGGGAUUACCCUGGGCUUCAGAUAGCAAAAACAGCAGGACCUCCUCCGUCAUCCAAUGCAACAUUCUUACUUCCUCCAAUUCUUGGGUUGCUUGCAUAAUGUGUGCCGCUAAUUGCAUAAUUUCCAGCCUCAAGAUCAAGAUUACCUCAUUCAUGUCUGCCACACCAUCUCUUUCUGCCUCUAGUAGAGCCAGAAGAACUAUAAUAUCUGUGCUCGGACUGCUCUCCGGCGGUGUUGCCUUUGAACUGCUACCAUCUAGUAACAUGGAUGGCGCACUGCUUCCACAAAUAGAUUCUGGGGUUGUACAUUGUGUCCUAGUGUCAACGACAUCCUAAAAGGUUUCCGCUAGACAUAAGUAAGAGAUAGUUAUCGCAUGAUCCAGGCAAUAAGCUUACAUGGUAAACGACAUACGAAUUAUUUCCGAGCAUGGCAAGCUAUAUUUAAAUGGUUCGAAGCAGCAUCAGCCGAAAAGAAAUUAAAAUGGUAAGGUCAAACUAGGGAUGUAAGUGGCAAAUAAACGACAUCCACCUGUCCCAUCUAGUUAGUUUUUGCUAGCUCCCUAGUUCAUUUUCCUCAAAAAAAAACUCUUUUGAACUAUCAUACCACUAGUGGACUUUAAUCGGGAUUAAACAGGAAACAGUUGACAUCCCUAGUUGAAAGGGAGUGUCCCACCGCUAUAUUUAAGUUGCUAAGGCAUCUAAGCAGUUGAAAUAAUCUGAGAAAGCACUUAACAGUGUGGCCUCAUAUAAACUAUGAAGACAGUCUUGUGAUGAAGUUUGGAGGAAAAGUUAAGGACUCAAAUGAACUAGGCAUGCAUUUCUUUAUGAUAGUACAGCAGGCACUGCUGAUAUAUUUGCCAACUCAGGUAUAGUGUAACAAGUAACAAACAAGCAUUCGAAUCAAGCAAUACAACAAAGCAGACAACUAAAGCAUUUGUAAUUCUGUACGAUUACAGGUUGAGGGCACAAGCCAAGAAAGCAUCCCACUCGCAUUACAUUUCACAUGUACUAAAACACACUGGCUUAACAUAUGUUUCUGUGAAGCCUUGCUGCUGUUGCAAUGUUCUUUGAAGAUAUCGUCAGCAUCCCAUGGUUGCAAAUCUAGUUGUUGUAGUUUAUUCUGCACCCUCUAUUUAGGUAAAAUUAAUUUUAAUGGAAUCCAUUGGUUCGAAUUGAUCAUCAAUGGUUCAUCUAAACUAAUGAAAGAGGGGUGUGUUCAUACACGACAAUAUAUCUGCUUCCCUCUAUUUUUAUGCUUGUUCGAGGUGCCAGCCCCAAAAGAACAAAUAUUUUGCUUGAUGGGGUUGGCAGCUCCAUAAUUAAUAGAAGCAUAAAAUUAGUCAUGCAACUUGGGAAGAUCAAGAACACACAAAAAAGUAAUGAAUAGAGGCUCGGAACAGUGAUGUAAUAGCUAGCAUCAGAAAAUGUAGGGUAAAACGAACAAAAAGUAGUGGAACCACAUGCUAGUUUGCUGAUGUGUAAUUAAGCAUAGAGAACAUGAAGCAGUCUGAUGGAACCAACAGGUGGCAUUAGAACAACACCAUUAUCACAAAUAUAGCAUGCAAGAAGUAAAAUAGUAGGAAGUGAUAUCUAGGAAGUACAGUAAUACUUAGGACAAAACUAAAGCAUAUUAACUAUAUGUGCACUGGUAUGUAAUUUAGCACAUGUAACAUGUUCACUGCCAGAAGUAAGGCCCUACAGGUGCAAGAAGAAUAACGCGUCUCAUGAAAAUUUGAAUGAUGCCCUGAAGAAAUUCAAGGUGCGGUGCUUAUGCUAAGAAAGUGAACGUAGGCACUGGCCGUCGGAUAAUAGUACAUGAUUCUCGGCGGCGUAUGGGUAUCAUUGUCAUACUUGAUAGCUAAGGAUCGUCGAUGGUGCUAGUGUUGCGGUUUAGUUUGGGCCGGCUGUUGCCAUCGCUAAAGUGGCUCCUGUGAUUCGGUUGCGGCGCCUGUCGACAUACAAGAAAGCUCAUCUGUGGUAAGUGAACAAUUGCAUGAUAAAGAAGAGAAAAACGAAGGAGUACAAAUUGAAAUAACCUGAUGAGGCUGCGGCAUCAGUAAAGCAGGAGUUGAAUAUGGCUCCCAUGGAGCAGGUCCGGUGCAAUGGACGAAGGCUUCGGCGGGCGCGGUGUACAGUGCUUUCGGUGAGGCAGAUCUGUUGCAGCGGACGAGGGCUUGUAUGAAGGUCCAGCGAUGGGGCAGACGAGGGAGUUAGUGAAGGGCCUACACUGUGGUGGACGAGAGUGCCAAGCAGAUCCGGUGUAGUGGACCAUGAUGGCGGUCAAGGAGAUCUGGAGCGGUGGACAAGCCACUCGAUGAAGCGGCUCCGGUGAAGUGGUGAGUUGGUAGUUGGGGGUUCCAAGGUGCGGAAGGUAGAUCCGGCAGGGUGUGAGGUCCACCGCUAUGGCGGAGGACUAGAUUCGGCAGCUUGCUGUGGUUGGGGGGUCGAGGAGGGGAAUGGGAGGGGCUCUAGGGAAGAAUGUUGGGGGCAAAGAGGGGAAAACAAUGGAGUUACCAAAGCAUCCCUUUUCCUUUCAUGUGGCAGGGGUAAAUAGGAAUAUCGCAGGGCUAAACUUUUGGGCGCGAGAUAUUUCGAUGUGAGCAUGAAGUUUGAAAGCUUUUGGCGCCUGAAAUUAUAAGUGUUCUGCUCUUGUACGACCGACUAUGAUAUCAUGGCCGAGAAUUUGUUUGUUUUGCGCGCAAAAAAGUGCAAGUUUUGAAAAUCAAUUUCUCCAACUCGAAACUUAGAUUGUCCAUUCAAUCCAAAUAUGGAUCAUUGAUCUAGUACAAGAAAAUACCAUCAUAUGGUUGAAUUCAAAUGAAAUUCCAAAUGUGUUUAUCCUAAAUAUGAUGACAAAAGCAAAAUUGUGUAUGUGUAUGAAUAAAGUGGAUGAUUAUAAAGUUUGAGCAUGCCCGUAUGUGUAUAUCUCUAGGUUUGAUAUAGGAAUUUGGAAUCACGAAAUCCCGUCUUAAAAAUGUACCUCCGUUUAAAUGAAUUACAAAAGCUAAUUAUGGAUUCGAAUUCCAAAAUUCCAAUAUUAGGUUUGUAAUUCUGGUACAUCAAGGUAUAUCACGCAUGUUCAAAAGUAUCGUUAUCUCAUAGUCCAAACUGUGAAACAAAUUGAUCAACCAUGAGUGCACACACUAUUGACCAUAUAUAUCUCAAUUACACUAAAGUCCCUCAAAUAUAGACACCUCACUCUUUAUCUAAAGCACCCCCCCCGUCCUCCCCCCCACACACAAGUCAUUCUCCCCCCAGACACGAACACACGAGCACAUUAACACCCCUCUCUCUUCUAAAGUCCGGACCCCAAUAUAGAUCUCUGUCACUUUGUCUGUCGGGCAUGCACACAUCUCUUCCCCCACUCUCUAGGUCUCCCGGCAUCUCUCUUUCCCAAGCACACCCACUAUGUAGAGUGUAUAUUUCCCAUACACACAAAACGUUGCCCGCAAACAUCUAUCUCCAUAGUUAUGUGGUUCUCGCACACUCACCUCACACAGCACCCCAACUACAAACAAGCACACUUUGUCUCCUUGUGCACCACUCUCCUCUUUCUAUCUCUCCCACAUGUGGACCUGCCCCAACUCCUCCCCUGUAUACAUAUAUGUCAUGACUCUUUCCAUAGCUCCCUAAUGUAUCAUCAUUCUCAAUCUUGCACGUUGUUCUCUACACCAUCUAUUCUAGAUCUCUCAUGAAGUCCCUAUCACACACACGAUGAUUUGCUUCCCUUGCGUCUCCGUACAUAGGCCAAUUUCGAACAACAUCAACAUUGUCUCCCUAUCUAUACGCCAUUUAUGGACACAAAUGACCCCUCUCUCCCCCUUCUCUUCCUCUCUCUCUCUCUCUCUUCGUCGCUAGAUAUCUCUCUCUCUCUCUCUCUCUCUCUCUCUCUUACACCCUCUCCCACACACACUCGAUGUCCCUUCCAAAUAGUCUGCUCCCUUCGCCCGCACCCAUGCUAUCCCGCUACUACACGUGUCACACCAUUCCCCCUUCCCUUAUACUUGGUUUACAUCAUUAGUGGUCUAUUUACUCCACAUACACACACUCCCUCUCACACACAAAUGUGCGCACAAACACACACACACACACACAAAAACCCAUUUAUCUGGAUCCUCAUCUCUCCCCAUGUCCGCAUGUGUAUCUCACGCACUCACUCUCUGAUUAUGUCUAUGUGUCUCCAUGUUACACAACACAAAGCCCCAUGUACAUGUCUCUCUCUAUCCUCCACACACAGAGACACAAAGAAUCUCUUAUCAUUGCCUCAGUCUCUAGACAUAUCACACACGCACACUGUCUCUCUCUCUCUCUCUCGCAAACAUGCUCAACAAGGGUUUCCACAUGAAUAACUUAUCGUCUAUUCAUCAACAGUCGUGGCAGUACGGCGAACACGAGACGUGAAAAAAAAUCUACACGUGCUUAGACCACCUAGUAUGACUACUAGGACUAGAGCAAGCCGAAAGUGCGCCACCGUCACCCCCUCCUUAUCGGUGAUGGGAAAACCUUUGUUUUACACAGUGGAGAAGUCAUUAUGCUAAGGCCCCACAUGCUAAGGGGUUGAAUAGAAUGUAAUUCCUAGUUUACGGAAACAAGUAUCAAUAAUAUGUUUGUAUCUUCAUACUUAUAUUUCUUCUCUUAUAAAAAGCCUAGUUGGUGAUGAUGGUAAGCGUGUCGUCUUGCAAUAUAGACCGUCCGAUCUAUAUCUGACGGAUGAAAAUUAAAUUAAAAGAUACCUGCACCUCUCUACACAUUUGCAGACAAGGCCUUCCCUCGUUCAUCCUUAUCUCCAACAACCUCAUUCUUGAGCAAUUAAAAAAGGAAGCCUCUAGAACAAACUGGCCUGGUGGCCGCUGCCGGCGUCGUCCAUCCCCAUGCCUCCGCUCAGUCCGACCACCAAUCACCACCACACCCCACUCCUCUUCACCUUAUCUCCUAUUUCUCGAGAUAUCAUUAGUUUUUACACAUGGGAUUACUGCCGCAUGGAUCAAUCACAGUAAGUGUUUUAUAAAAAAUGCAUCUUGAUGUUCCGUGUAAUGCACGGACAUCUUGCUAGUAUUCCUACAGAAGACUAAGUUGGUGAUGAUGGUAUGUCUGCCAUCAGUCAUUUCUGACCAUUAGAUCUACAUAUAACGACUGUGAGGUAAGUUGUUGCCUUUUCUAACCAACAUCCCACUUCUCUAGCAAUUUGCAGAAAAACCCAUAAUUAGUAUCUUAAAACAAACCACAUCCCUCCCUCACCUCACCAAAACAGCCCAAGGAAUAUAUUCUGAUUGAAACAUAAUAUAUCUCUACUAAUAUAUGUAUAUCAAAAUUAGAGCAUUUUGUAUCAAGUUUGUGAAUAAGUAUUAUUCUAAUUAUGAUCUGUUGCAACACACAUGAACAUUGCUAGUAUUUCCAACCAUGCAAAAAAACCUAGUAUUUCCAUAGUUUCGAGUUUUCCAUCAAGAUAUUAGCCACUCAUGGUUGAUAUUUACUUUCAAUCCCGUACACAUAUGCACUACAUAACUAGCCUUGCUUAUUGGCUUCCAAAGCUUAACUUUCACUCCUACUUACAAUAUGUAGAGUAUUUAAAAAAAUACCACUUUCAACCAGCCCUAGGAAGAAACUGUUGUACAAAAAAUAGCAAAAACAUACCCAAAAUUUCUUAAUCCACGCAAAAAACUAUUACCUAGUGCCGAUUAGGCUCGUUUAAACCCGUUUAUGACAGGGUUGGCCCACACGUCCGUGCUAACGAGGCAGCUUAAACCAACAAUUUUUGUAUGAUCGUUGACACGAGGGACCCACAUCUGACCUUCUAUCCUGUUAUUCCCCCUCAAAUCAUUAUUUUUCCUAAACAUUACUUCAAACAGUACUUAUGUGUGUUCGUCGGUGGCGUCGGUGAUGAGCGAGUUGGCCGCCGCUCCGCCGGACGGGCCGGACUCCGUGCUGGCCUCUGCACGGGUUGGCAGGCUGGCCCGAGCAUGACUCAUGAGCGAGCAAGCCUCCGCUUGAUGUCUACUAUACAACCUUCUUCUGGUAGAUGUUGUUGGGCCUGCAAGUGCACAUGUUUGUAGGACAGUAGCAAAAUUCCCUCAAGUGGAUGACCUAAGGUUUAUCAAUCCGUAGGAUGCGUAGGAUGAAGAUGGUCUCUCUCAAACAACCCUGCAACCAAAUAACAAAGAGUCUCUUGUGUCCCCAACACACCCAAUACAAUGGUAAAUUGUAUAGGUGCACUAGUUCGACGAAGAGAUGAAGAUACAAGUGCAAAAUAGAUAGUAGAUAUAGAUUUUUGUAAUCUGAAAUAAUAAAAACAGCAAGGUAACUAAUGGUAAAAGUGAGCGUAAACGGUAUUGCAAUGAUAGGAAACAAGGCCUAGGGUUCAUACUUUCACUAGUGCAAGUUCUCUCAACAAUAAUAACAUAGAUAGAUCAUAUAACAAGCCCUCAACAUGCAACAAAGAGUCACUCCAAAGACACUAAUAGCGGAGAACGAACAAAGAGAUUAUGGUAGGGUACGAAACCACCUCAAAGUUAUUCUUUCGGAUCAAUCUAUUCAAGAGUUCGUACUAGAAUAACACCUUAAGACACAAAUCAAUCGAAACCCUAAUGUCACCUAGAUACUCCAUUGUCACAUCAAGUAUCCGUGGGCAUGAUUAUACAAUAUGCAUCACACAAUCUCAGAUUCAUCUAUUCAACCAACACAAAGUACUUCAAAGAGUGCCCCAAAGUUUCUACCGGAGAGUCAAGAACGUGUGCGAACCCCUAUGCAUAGAUUCAUGGGCGGAACCCGCAAGUUGGUCACCAAAACAUACAUCAAGAGGCACAUGAUAUCCCAUUGUCACCAAAGAUAAGCAUGGCAAGACAUACAUCAAGUGUUCUCAUAAAAGAUUCAAUCCGAUAAGAUAACUUCAAAGGGGAAAACUCAAUUUAUCACAAGAGAGUAUAGGGGGAGAAACAUCAUAAGAUCCAACAACAAUAGCAAAGCUCGGGAUACAUCAAGAUCGUGCCAUAGAGGGAACAUGAGAGAGAGAGAGAUCAAACACAUAGCUACUGGUACAUACCCUCAGCCUCGAGGGUGAACUACUCCCUCCUCGUCAUGGAGAGCACUGGGAUGAUGAAGAUGGCCACCGGUGAUGGAUCCCCCCUCCGGCAGGGUGCCGGGAAGGGCUCCCGAGAGGUUUUUGGUGGCUACAGAGUGUUGCGGCUGCAGAACUCCUGAUCUAUCUUGAUAUUCGAUAGUUUUAGGGUACGUAGGGUUAUGUAGGCGAAAGAAGUCGGUCGGGGGGUGCUCGAGGGGUCCACGAGACAGGGGGGCGCGCCCUAUAGGAGUGGGUGUGCCCCCCUAUCUCCUGGGCUCCUAGAGGAUCUUCUUACUUGACCUCCAAGCCUCCAGGAUGAUAAUCUUCCAAAAAAUCAUGAUGCCGAAGGUUUCAUUCCGUUUGGACUCCGUUUGAUAUUCCUUUUCUUCGAAAUACUGCAACAGGCAAUAAAACAGCAAUAUGGGCUGGGCCUCCGGUUAAUAGGUUAGUCCCAAAAGUAAUAUAAAAGUGUAUAAUAAAGCCCGUAAUCAUUGAAAACAGAUAAUAAAAUAGCAUGAAUGCUUCAUAAAUUAUAGAUAUGUUGGAGACGUAUCAGCAUCCCCAUGCUUAAUUCCUACUCGUCCUCGAGUAGGUAAAUGAUAAAAGAAAGAAUUUAUGAAGUGUGAAAGCUAGAAGGUGCACAAGUUUGAUCAAUGAUAAUUUCAAUCACCUUUUCUAGCAUGAUAAUAUGUCAUAAUAGUAGUUCAUCUCAUAAAACUUUUCAUAAUCAAGUAACAAGCAAUUCACAUGUUAAAUCAUAGACCAUAAACUUUCUUGAAAACUAGCAAACUUCAUUCUUAGUCAUCAAACAAUCGCAAUUCAUCUUACUUUCAGGAAGAGUCUAUGUCAGAGCUUUGAUUUAGCAAACUUCACAUACUCAACCAUCAUAUAGUCUUCUACAAUUGCUAACACUCACACAAUACUUGUGGUUAUGAAGUUUUAAUCAUACAUAGAGAAAGAUUGGGGCUUAUAAUGUUGCCUCGAAACAUAUUCACCUUUGGGUGAUGUCAACAAUAAUAGUUCAUGCUAACGUACAUCCAAUUGGAUAUAUAUAUCAGGAUCACCCUAACACAAAGUGCUUGCCAAAGGAUAAAAUGAAAAAGGGAAAGGUGAAGAUCACCUUGACUCUUGCAUAAAUUAAAAGACAUAAAGUAAAAGAUAGGCCCUUCGCAGAGGGAAGCAGAGGUUGUCAUGCGCUUUUAGGGGUGGAUACACAAAAUCUUAAUGCAAAAGAACGUCACUUUAUAUUGCCCCUUGUAUAUGGAACUUUAUUAUGCAGUCCGUUACUUUUAUUGCUUCCAUAACAAGUUCGUACAAAGCUUAUUUUCUCCGCACUAAUAAGUCAUGCAUAUUUAGAGAGCAAUUUUUAUUGCUUGCACCGAUGAUAACUUACUUGAAGGAUCUUACUCAAUCCAUAGGUAGGUAUGGUGGACUCUCAUGGAAAAACUGGGUUUAAGGAUAUUUGGAAGCACAAGUAGUAUCUCUACUUGGUGUUAGGAAUUUUUGGCGAGCAUGAGGGGGAAAGGCAAGCUCAACAUGUUUGAAUGAUCCAUGACAAUAUACUUUAACUGAGAUGUGAGAAAACAUAACCCAUUACGUUGUCUUCCUUGUCCAACAUCAACUCUUUAGCAUGUCAUACAUAAUGAGUGCUCACAAUUAUAAAACAUGUCUAUGAUAAUAUAUUUAUAUGUGAAAUCUCUCUUCCUUCAAUAUUCUUUCAUGAAUUGUUCAAAUGACUAAUACAAUGCUUGCUAACCGUCAAUAAAUUAACAACCUCUACUUCUUAGAGGUGAAGUCAUUACUCCCCAUGGGAUAAGCAAAUGAAACAUAUAUAAUUUCUGAUUUAUGACAUUCAACUCAUUCAACCAUUUACUCAUAGGAUAUAAGUGAAGCACACGAGUAAAUGACAAACUACUCCAAAAAGAUAUAAGUGAAGAUCAAUGAGUAGCUAAAUAAUUAUGCAACUAUGUGAAGACUCUCUCUCAAAUAAGAAUUUCAGAUCUUGGUACUUUAUUCAAACAGCAAGAAAAACAAAAUAAAAUGACAUUUCAAGGAUAGCACAACUCAAGUGAAGAAGCAAAAACUUAGGCUCAACCGAUACUAACCGAUAGUUGUUGAAGAAGAAAGGUGGGAUGCCUAACGGGGCAUCCCCAAGCUUAGAUGCUUGAGACUUCUUGAAAUAUUAUAUUGGGAUGCCUUGGGCAUCCCCAAGCUUGAACUUUUAUGUCUCCUUAAUACCUCUCAUAACAUUGUUUCUUUUUAUCAAAAGCUUCAUUCACAACAAACUCAACAGGAACUCGUGAGAUAGGUUAGUAUAAACCAAUGCAAAACCUUAUCAUUUUCUACUGUAACAAAUCACUUAAAGUAUUAUUCAACAUUGAAUACUAAAUGCCACUGCAUAUUUAAUACUCCUAUCCUCAAAUAGAAUCAUUAAACAAGCAAACAUAUGCAAACAAUGCAACUAUAACAGCAAUCUACCAAAACAGUACAGUCUGUAAAGAAUGCAAGAGUAUCAAUACUUCCAUAACUCCAAAAAGUAUGAGAGAAAAUUCCCUCUGUAAUACAUUUAUCAGAUCUUAAUAUGCAGAAAGAUUCAACAUUAUACCAUUCCCUGACUUUUCUAGGGAAUUUUUGCAACAGCGGUAAACUUUCUGUUUUCAAACAGCAACAUGUAUACUAGCAAAAUAAGCAUGGCAAAGGCUAUCCUUGACUUUUUUAUUGAAACUAAAGAUGCAAAACAUUAUUAUAACUAACAUCAAGCACAAACUAGCAAAAUAAAAUGACGCUCCAAGCAAAACACAUAUCAUGUGGCGAAUAAAAAUAUAGCUCCAAGUAAAGUUACCGAUGAACGAAGACGAAAGAGGGGAUGCCAUCCGGGGCAUCCCCAAGAUUAGUUGCUUGGUUGUCCUUGAAUAGUACCUUGGGGUGCCUUGGGAAUCCCCAAGCUUAGGCUAUUUACACUCCUUAUUCAAUAGUCCAUCGAAUCUUUACCCAAAACUUGAAAACUUCAACCACACAAAACUCAAAACAAAACUCGUGAACUCCGUUAGUAUAAGAAAAUAAAACCACCACUUAGGUACUGUAAUGAACUCAUUAUAAAUUCAUAUUGGUGUAAUUAUCUACUGUAUUCUAAAUUCUCUAAGGUUCAUACCACUUAAUACUAGCCAUAGAUUCAUCAAAAUAAGCAAACAACACAUAGAAAACAGAAUCUGUCAAUAACAGAACAGUCUGUAGUAAUCUGUAUCAAACGUAUACUUCUGGAACUCAAAAAAUUCUUAAUAAAUUUCUGGACCUGAGGAAUUUGUUUAUUAAUCAUAUUCCAAAAGAAUCAACCUAAAAUCACUCACCAGUAAAAAAUGGCAGCCAUUCUCGUGAGCGCAACAGUUUCUGUUUUUUACAGCAAGAUCAUAUAGACUUCACCCAAGUCUUCCCAAAGGUUCUACUUGGCACUUUAUUGAAACAAAAGCUAUAAAACAUGAUACAACAGUAGCAUAAUAAUGUGAACACACAAAAACAGUAAGGGUAAAUAUUGGGUUGUCUCCCAACAAGCGCUUUUCUUUAAUGCCUUUCUAGCUAGGCAUGAUGAUGGCAAUGAUGCUCACAUAAAAGAUAAGAAUUGAAACAUAAAGAGAGCAUCAUGAAGAAUAUGACUAGCACAUUUAAGUCUAACCCACUUCCUAUGCAUAGGGAUUUUAUGAGCAAACAACUUAUGGGAACAAUAAUCAACUAGCAAAGGAAGGUAAAACAAGCAUAGCUUCAAAACUUUAAGCACAUAGAGAGGAAACUUGAUAUUAUUGCAUUUCCUACAAGCGUAAGUUCCUCCCUCAUAAUAAUUUUCAGUAGCAUCAUGAAUGAAUUCAACAAUAUAACCAGCACCUAAAGCAUUAUUUUCAUGAUCUACAAGCAUAGAAAAUUUACUACUCUCCACAUAAGCAAAAUUCUUCUCAUUCGGAAUAGUAGGAGUAUCAUAAGAGACUUGAACACUAAAAAUUGUUUCCACAUUAAAAGAGUAAUGUUCAGAGAAAGGGUAAUCAUAAUCAUGACAAGAUUUGUACAUAUAAUCAUCACUACUUUUUAUAUCAUAAGUUUCAUCACAAUAAUCAUGACGAGGCCCUAUGGUUACUACGCUCUUAUCUCCUCCUCGCCAGUUCCCCUCCCCCCGAAGAGAAGGCAGUUCGUCGCUGCUCCCAUGGAUUCACCAGGCAGUUCUCCUCGUCGUCGGGGCUGGGAGACCUUGGACGAUGAUCCUCUGGGAGAAAACACACGCCGCUCUGAUGUCCUCACCGCCACAAGACUCGGUGCUUCCUGCACUAACUUUUUCAAGACGGUGCUUAAACAGGGUUGGGAAAAGGCCAUGCUUGUUGUUCUUCCAUGCGUCCUCGAGGAGAAGGUUCUUCUAUGGGACAAUCCUUCAAACAGUCCACUGAUGUCUACUACACAACCUUCUUCUUGUAGACGUUGUUGGGCCUGCAAGUGCACAGGUUUGUAGGACAGUAGCAAAUUUCCCUCAAGUGGAUGACCUAAGGUUUAUCAAUCCGUAGGAGGCGUAGGAUGAAGAUGGUCUCUCUCAAGCAACCCUGCAACCAAAUAACAAAGAGUCUCUUGUGUCCCCAACACACCCAAUACAAUGGUAAAUUGUAUAGGUGCACUAGUUCGGCGAAGAGAUGAAGAUACAAGUGCAAUAUGGAUGGUAGAUAUAGGUUUUUGUAAUCUGAAAUAAUAAAAACAGCAAGGUAAACUAAUGAUAAACGUGAGCGUAAACGGUAUUGCAAUGAUAGGAAACAAGGCCUAGGGUUCAUACUUUCACUAGCGCAAGUUCUCUCAACAAUAAUAACAUAGAUAGAUCAUAUAACAAUCCCUCAACAUGCAAAAAAGAGUCACUCCAAAGACACUAAUAGCGGAGAACGAACGAAGAGAUUAUGGUAGGGUACGAAACCACCUCAAAGUUAUUCUUUCGGAUCAAUCUAUUCAAGAGUUCGUACUAGAAUAACACCUUAAGACACAAAUCAACCAAAACCCUAAUGUCACCUAGAUACUCCAUUGUCACCUCAAGUAUUUGUGGGCAUGAUUAUACGAUAUGCAUCACACAAUCUCAGAUUCAUCUAUUCAACCAACACAAAGUACUUCAAAGAGUGCCCCAAAGUUUCUACCGGAGAGUCAAGAACGUGUGCCAACCCCUAUGCAUAGGCCCUGUUCAAGAAUUCAUCCGAUUAACCAGUUAACUUGCCAAUUAAUCCCUACUCGUAGGGUCACCGAGUAGCCUAUAAACCGAUAAAUCAUCCGAUUAAUUGAUUAAAUGGCCGAUUAACUUACUGAUUAUCCGAUUAAUCCCCUACUCACCAGCCAACCGAGCAGCUACCAGUUAACGAUUUCCUCAACAAUGUGCAUAGGUUCAUGGGCGGAACCCGCAAGUUGGUCACCAAAACAUACAUCAAGAGGCACAUGAUAUCCCAUUGUCACCUCAGAUAAGCACAGCAAGACAUACAUCAAGUGUUCUUAUAAAAGACUCAAUCCGAUAAGAUAACUUCAAAGGGGAAAACUCAAUUCAACACAAGAGAGUAGAGGGGAGAAACAUCAUAAGAUCCAACUACAAUAGCAAAGCUUGGGAUACAUCAAGAUCGUGCCAUAGAGGGAACACGAGAGAGAACACGAGAGAGAGAGAGAGAGAGAGAGAGAGAGAGAGAGAGAUCAAACACAUAGCUACUGGUACAUACCCUCAGCCUCGAGGGUGAACUACUCCCUCCUCGUCACGGAGAGCGCCGGGAUGAUGAAGAUGGCCACCGGUGAAGGACCCCCCUCCGACAGGGUGCCGGGAAGGGCUCCCGAGAGGUUUUUGGAGGCUACAGAGGCUUGCGGCGGCGAAACUCCUGAUCUAUCUUCCCCGUGGAUGUUUUUAGGGUACGUGGGACUAUAUAGGCGAAAGAAGUCGGUCGGUAGGUGCUCGAGGGGUCCAUGAGACAGGGGGGCGCGCCCUGUAGGGGAGGGGGCGCCCGCCUAUCUCCUGGGCUCCUCGAGGAUCUUCUGACUUCAUCUCCAAGCCUCCAGUAUGAUAAUCUUCCAAAAAAUCACGAUGCCAAAGGUUUGAUUCCGUUUGGACUCCGUUUGAUAUUCCUUUUCUUCGAAAUACUGAAACAAGCAAUAAAACAACAAUAUGGGCUAGGCUCCGGUUAAUAGGUUAGUCCCAAAAGUAAUAUAAAAGUGUAUAAUAAAGCCCAUAAUCAUUCAAAACAGAUAAUAUAAUAGCAUGUAACAAUCAAAAAUUAUAGAUACGUUGGAGACGUAUCAAGCAUCCCCAAGCUUAAUUCCUGCUCGUCCUCGAGUAGGUAAAUGAUAAAAACAGAAUUUUUGAUGUGGAAUGCUACCUAACAUGAUUCCCAAUGUAAUUUCUCUAUUGUGGCAUGAAUGUUCAGAUCCAAGUGAUUCAAAAUAAAAGUUCAUAUUGACAAAAGAAGUAAUAAUACUUCAAGCAUACUAAGCAAAGUAAUCAUGUCUUCUCAAAAUAACAUGGCCAAAGAAAGUUAUCCCUACAAAAUCAUAUAGUCUGGCUGUUGCUCUAUCUUCAUCACACAAAGUAUUUAAUCAUGCACAACCCCGAUGACGAGCCAAGCAAUUGUUUCAUACUUUAAUAAUCUCAAACUCUUUCAACUUUCACGCAAUACAUGAGCGUGAGGCAUGGACAUAGCACUAUAUGUGGAAUAGAACGAUGGUUGUGGGGAAGACAAAAAAGGAGAAAAUAGUCUCACAUCAACUAGGCGUAUCAACGGGCUAUGGAGAUGCCCAUUAAUAGAUAUCAAUGUGAGUGAGUAGGGAUUGCCAUGCAACGAAUGCACUAGAGCUAUAAAUAUAUGAAAGCUCAACAAAAGAAAACUAGUGGGUGUGCAUCCAACUUGCUUUCUCACGAAGACCUAGGGAAUUUUGAGGAAGCCCAUCAUUGGAAUAUACAAGCCAAGUUCUAUAAUGAAAAAUUCCCACCAGUAAAUGAAAGUGACAACAUAUGAGACUCUCUAUCAUGAAGAUCAUGGUGCUAUUUUGAAGCACAAGUGUGGAAAAAGAGAUAGUAGCAUUGUCCCUUCUCUCUUUUUCUCUCAUUCCUUUUUUUUCUUUUUUUUCCUUUUUUUCUUUCUCUUUUUUUCUUUGGCCUUCUUUUUUUGGCCUUUCUUUUUCUUUCUUUUUGUAAAGUCCGAAGUCUCAUCCCGACUUGUGGGGGAAUCAUAGUCUUCAUCAUCCUUUCCUCACGAGGACAAUGCUCUAAUAAUGAAGAUCAUCACACUUUUAUGGAUUUACAACUCCAAGCUAGAACAAGAUAUGACUCUAGGUGAAUGCCUCGGGCGGUGUACCGGGAUAUGCAAUGAAUCAAGAGCGACAUGUAUGAAGAUUAUGAAGGUGGCCUUGCCACAAAUACGAUGUCAACUACAUGAUCAUGCAAAGAGCAAUAUGACAAAAGUAAUGUGUGUCAUAUGAACGGAACGGUGGAAAGUUGCAUGGAAAUAUAUCUCGGAAUGGCUAUGGAAAUGCCAUAAUAGGUAGGUAUGGUGGCUAUUUUGAGGAAGGUAUAUGGUGGGUGUAUGGUACCGGCGAAAGUUGCACGAUACAAGAGAGGCUAGCAAUAAUGGAGAGGUGAAAGAGUGUAUAAUCCAUGGACUCAACAUUAGUCAAAAGAACUCAUAUACUUGUUGUAAAAAUUUAGAAUUCAUCAAAAACCAAAGCACUACAUGCAUGCUCCUAGGGGGAUAGAUUGGUAGGAAAAGACCAUCGCUCGUCGCCGACUGCCACUCAUAAGGAAGACAUUCAAUAAAUAAAAUUGUGCUCCAACUUCAUCACAAAGCGGUUCACCAUACGUGCAUGCUACGGGAAUCACAAACUUCAACACAAGCAUUCUUUAAAUUCAUAAUCACCCAAGUAGCAUGACUUUAAUAUCACUACCUCCAUAUCUCAAAACAAUUAUCAAGCAUCAAAUUGAUCAUAGCAUCCAAUUCACUUCCUAUGAUAGUUUUCAUUCAAAUUACCAUGCUGUUUAAGACUCUCAAAAUAAUAUAAGUGAAGCAUGAGAGACUAGCAAUUUCUUCAAAAUAUAACCACCGCCGAGCUCUAAAAGAUAUAAGUGAAGCACUAGAGCAAACGACAAACUACUCCGAAAGAUAUAAGUGAAGAUCAAUGAGUAGCUAAAUAAUUAUGCAACUAUGUGAAAACUCUCUCUCAUUAAAGAAUUUCAGAUCUUGGUAUUGUAUUCAAGCAGCAAGCAAAACAAAAUAAAAUGACAAUGCAAGGAUAGCAUAACUCAUGUGAAGAAGCAAAAACUUAGGCUCAACCGAUACUAACCGAUGAUUGCCGAAGAAGAAAGGCGGGAUGCCUACCGGGGCAUCCCCAAGCUUAGAUGCUUGAGACUUCUUGAAAUAUUAUCUUGGGGUGCCUUGGGCAUCCCCAAGCUUGAGCUUUUGUGUCUCCUUAAUUCCUUUCAUGUCACGGUUUCUCUUUUUAUCAAAAGCUUCAUUCACAACAAACUCAACAAGAACUCGUGAGAUAGGUUAGUAUAGACCAAUGCAAAACCAUAUCAUCUUCUACUAUAACAAAUCAAUAAAAUUAUUAUUCAACAUUGAAUACUAAAUGUCUAUUCAUAUUUAAUACUCCUAUCCUCAAAUAGAAUCAUUAAACAAGCAAACAUAUGCAAACAAUGCAACUAUAACAACAAUCUGCCAAAACAGUACAGUCUGUAAAGAAUGCAAGAGUAUCAAUACUUCCCUGAAUCCAAAAAUUAUGAACUAAAAUUCCCACUGUAAUAAUUUAUCAGAACAUAAUAGCAAAAAGAUUCAACGUUAUACCAUUCUCUGACUUUUCUAGGGAAUUUUUGCAAGAGCGGUAAACUUUCUGUUUCCAAAUAGCAACAUGUAUACUUGCAAAACAAGCAUGGCAAAGGCUAUCCUUGACUUUUUUUAUUGAAACUAAAGAUGAAAAACAUUAUUCUAAAUAACAUCAAGCAAACACUAACAAAAGAAAAUGACGCUCCAAGCAAAACACAUAUCAUGUGGUGAAUAAACAUAUAGCUCCAAGUAAAGUUACCGAUGAACGAAGACGAAAGAGGGGAUGCCAUCCGGGGCAUCCCCAAGCUUAGGCUCUUGGUUGUCCUUGAAUAUUACCUUGGGGUGCCUUGGGCAUCCCCAAUCUUAGGCUCUUUCCACUCCUUAUUCUAUAGUCCAUCGAAUCCUUACCCAAAACUUGAAAACUUCAACCACACAAAACUCAAACAAAACUCGUAAGCUCCGUUAGUAUAAGAAAAUAAAACCACCACUUAGGUACUGUAAUGAACACAUUAUAAAUUCAUAUUGGUGUUAAACCUACUGUAUUCCAACUUCUCUAUGGUUCAUACCACUUAAUACUAGCCAUAGAUGCAUCAAAAUAAGCAAACAACACAAUGAAAACAGAAUCUGUCAAAAACAGAAGAGUCUGUAGUAAUCUGUAUGAAACGUACAGUUCUGGAACCCAAAAAAUUAUGAAAUAAAUUUGUGGGCCUGAGGAAUUUGUCUAUUAAUCAUAUGCAAAAAGAAUCAACCUAAAAUCGCUCUCCAGUAAAAAAAUGGCAGCUAAACUCGUGAGAGCUAAAGUUUCUGUUUUUUUACAGCAAGAUCACAUAAACUUCACCCAAGUCUUCCCAAAGGUUCUACUUGGCACUUUAUUGAAACAAAAGCUAUAAAACAUGAUUAAUACAGUAUCAUAAUCAUGUGGACACACAAAAACAGUAAGGGUAAAUAUUGGGUUGUCCCCCAACAAGCGCUUUUCUUUAAUGCCUUUUUAGCUAGGCAUGAUGAUGGCAAUGAUGCUCACAUAAAAGAUAAGAAUUGAAACAUAAAGGUAGCAUCUUGAAGCAUAUGACUAGCAAAUUUAAGCCUAACCCACUUCCUAUGCAUAGGUAUUUUGUGAUCAAACAACUUAGGGGAACAAUAAUCAACAAGCAUAGGAAGGUAAAACAAGCAUAACUUCAAGAUUUUCAACACAUAGAGAGGAAGCUUGACAUUAUUGCAACUCCUACAAGCAUAUGUUCCUCUCUCAUAAUAGUUUUCAGUAGCAUCAUGAAUGAAUUCAACAAUAUAACCAGCACCUAAAGAAUUCUUUUCAUGAUCUACCAGCAUAGAAAAUUUAUUACUCUCCAUAUAAGCAAAAUUCUUCUCAUUCGGAAUGGUGUGAGUAUCAUAAGAGACUUGAACACUAAAAAUUGUUUCCACAUUAAAAGAGUAAUGUUCAGAAAAAUGGUAAUCAUAAUCAUGACAAGUUUUAUAAAUAUAAUCAUCACUACUUUUUAUAGCAUAAGUUUCGUCACAAUAAUCAUCAUAAGUAGCAACUUCGUUCUCAUCAUAAUCGAUUGAAACCUCUCCCAAGAUAGUGGAAUCACUAAAUAAAGUUGACACUCUUCCAAAUCCACUUCCAUAUUCAUCACAAUAAAAUUCAACAUCCUCCAAAAUAGUGGGAUCACUAUUUCCUAAAGUUGACACUCUUCUGAACCCACUUUCAUCAAUAUAAUCAUCAUAGGUGGGAGGCAUGCUAUCAUCAUAACAACUCUGCAUAUCAAAACUUGGGAUGCUAAAAAUAUCAUCUUCAUUAAACAUAGCAUCCCCAAGCUUGGGACAAACAUCAAUUUCAGCAAAUAUAUUAUCAAAUAUUUCAUCCUCAUCAAACAUAGCUUCCCCAAGCUUGGGACCUUUCAUAUCAUAAGCAUAAUCACUCUCAUCAUUAAAAAUAUGGAUAGCACCAAUGGUAAAGCAAUUAUCAUCAUCACAACGAGUAGUAGGAGCAACAUCAUUUGGGAGGGAUACCUUUCUACCUUUUUUGCUCCUUCUUUUCUUUUUCUUCUUCACAUUAUGUGUAGGUUCAACUUUCCUCUUUGAGCUCCUUAUUGAUGAGAUUGGUUGAAUAGAACGCUCCUCCUCGUUACCUGAUUCAUCAUGAGAAAUAAUAGGAGGAUAUUGGGAAGUCUUUUCCCUUUCAUUAGUAUUCUCAUCAUCUUCUAUUUGCUUUCUUUUCUUUAUGUAAUUGGCAAUAUAAGGAUUUUCAAUGCAAUUCUCCGCACAAAACAUAUAAAUCUUCUCUAGAUCAAUAACAAGGAAAUGCCUAAGAUUAAAUUCUGGAAUAGGCUUAGUUAAACGUUUCAACUCUUCACAACCCAAAAGCAAUCUAAGUUCAUUGUAAUGAGAAGGGGAGAUCAAAUCAUCACAAUUUUUGGACACGAUCCGAUCAUGAAACAAUUUGCAUUGGAGAUGUAAAUGAUCUUGUUUUUUGCAAAAUUCACAACGGGAAAGAUAUCUUAAAUUCUCCGCACUCUUAUCUAGCCUUUAUUGCAGCCUCUUAGUUUCUAAAUACUUAUGCUUCUUGCAAUAUAUAUCUUCUCUAUUUGGUGUGUUCAUGCAAACAUGCACUCAACAAAAGUUAACAUGCUCAUAAGAUAUAUUUUCAUCAUGACUAGAGCAAUCAUCAUUAGUACUAUGGAUAUUCAAGGAGUUUAUACUAACAACAUUGCAAUCAUGCUCAUCAUUCAAAGAUUUAGUACCAGGCAUUUUAAAGCAUUCUUGUUCUAGCACUUGGGCACAAUUUUCCUUUCCAUCAAACUCACGAAAGAUAUUAAAAAGACGAAGCGUACGAGACAAACUUAACUCCAUUUUUUUGUAGUUUUCUUUUAUAAACUAAACUAGUAAUAAAACAAGAAACAAAAAGAUUUGAUUGCAAUAUCUAAAGAUAUACCUUCAAGCGCUAACCUCCCCGGAAACGGCGCCAGAAAAGAGCUUAGUUGACAGGGUGUGAGUGUGUACCCUUUACCUAGCCUCCCCGGCAACGGCGCCAGAAAAGAGCUUGAUGUCUACUACACAACCUUCUUCUUGUAGACGUUGUUGGGCCUGCAAGUGCACAGGUUUGUAGGAAAGUAGCAAAUUUCCCUCAAGUGGAUGACCUAAGGUUUAUCAAUCCGUAGGAGGCGUAGGAUGAAGAUGGUCUCUCUCAAGAAACCCUGCAACCAAAUAACAAAGAGUCUCUUGUGUCCCCAACACACCCAAUACAAUGGUAAAUUGUAUAGGUGCACUAGUUCGGCGAAGAGAUGAAGAUACAAGUGCAAUAUGGAUGGUAGAUAUAGGUUUUUGUAAUAUGAAAUAAUAAAAACAGCAAGGUAACUAAUGAUAAACGUGAGCGUAAACGGUAUUGCAAUGAUAGGAAACAAGGCCUAGGGUUCAUACUUUCACUAGCGAAGUUCUCUCAACAAUAAUAACAUAGAUAGAUCAUAUAACAAUCCCUCAACAUGCAACAAAGAGUCACUCCAAAGACACUAAUAGCGGUGAAUGAACGAAGAGAUUAUGGUAGGGUAUGAAACCACCUCAAAGUUAUUCUUUCGGAUCAAUCUAUUCAAGAGUUCGUACUAGAAUAACACCUUAAGACACAAAUCAACCAAAACCCUAAUGUCACCCAGAUACUCCAUUGUCACCUCAAGUAUCCGUGGGCAUGAUUAUACGAUAUGCAUCACACAAUCUCAGAUUCAUCUAUUCAACCAACACAAAGUACUUCAAAGAGCGCCCCAAAGUUUCUACCGGAGAGUCAAGAACGUGUGCCAACCCCUAUGCAUAGGUUCAUGGGCGGAACCAGCAAGUUGGUCACCAAAACAUACAUCAAGAGGCACAUGAUAUCCCAUUGUCACCUCAGAUAAGCACGGCAAGACAUACAUCAAGUGUUCUCAUAAAAGACUCAAUCCGAUAAGAUAACUUCAAAGGGGAAAACUCAAUUCGUCACAAGAGAGUAGAGGGGAGAAACAUCAUAAGAUCCAACUACAAUAGCAAAGGUCGGGAUACAUCAAGAUCGUGCCAUAGAGGGAACACGAGAGAUAACUCGAGAGAGAGAGAUCAAACACAUAGCUACUGGUACAUACCCUCAGCCUCGUGGGUGAACUACUCCCUCCUCGUCAUGGAGAGCGCCGGGAUGAUGAAGAUGGCCACCGGUGAAGGAUCCCCCCUCCGGCAGGGUGCCGGGAAGGGCUCCCAAGAGGUUUUUGGUGGCUACAGAGGCUUGCGGCGGCGGAACUCCCGAUCUAUCUUCCCCAUGGAUGUUUUAGGGUACGUGGGACUAUAUAGGCGAAAGAAGUCGGUCGGGAGGUGCUCGAGGGGUCCACGAGACAGGGGGCACGCCCAGUAGGGUGGGCACGCCCCUAUAUCUCCUGGGCUCCUCAAGGAUCUUCUGACUUCAUCUCCAAGCCUCCAGGAUGAUAAUCUUCCAAAAAAUCACGAUGACGAAGGUUUCAUUCCGCUUGGACUCCGUUUGAUAUUCCAUUUCUUCGAAAUACUGAAACAGGUAAUAAAACAAGAAUAAGGGUUGGGCCUCCGGUUAAUAGGUUAGUCCCAAAAGUAAUAUAAAAGUGUAUAAUAAAGCCCAUAAUCAUUCAAAACAGAUAAUAUAAUAGCAUGGAACAAUCAAAAAUUAUAGAUACGUUGGAGACGUAUCAUCCACCGCUCCCUGGCCAUGGUUGCACGUUGACUCCGCUAGAGUUGUCGACGUUGAGAGGUAGUCGGAUUUUAUCCGAUGAGCAGGUCAAUCAUGGAGUUUGAUCAUGUAGUACUUAGUUAUUCCAUUUCCAUCCCGUAAUUUCUCCGCUGCCCACUGUCUUAUAUAUAGGUAUGGGUCGGUGCCAACGUAUAUUGGCUUGCAUACCUCUGGCCGGAUACCACCAUCAUUUUGCACAACAUCCACAGCAAUGCGGCCGUUCCCGUAGACCCAUACUCCACCAUUGAGAUCGGCCUUCCGGCCUGGCUGGUCUUGAAUACGUAUGAUGAUGCCUACAUGAGAUUGAAGAAGAUAGCAAUUGCGGACCUGUCGACAAAGCGACGCGGCUACGACGAUUACUAUCUCAUCGCAGUGUUCGACAUAAGGAUUGCCAUCAAUGCAAGAGGCAGUAACAGAAGAGGCUGGCGCAUGUGGGCCAUGGCAGAUUUGUACCCCUACAUGUUCGGAGACGUCGUGCGCCAUCUAGGCCGCAUCUUCGUGGUGACAAGCCAGUGGACUUGUUUCAUCUGGUUGCGAUCCUAUAGUACAGGAGAUUACAAACGGAAUGCACAAACCAUCAUUUGCAUCCCUAACGGUACUCCAUUAUUUUGCAGGGACCAGUCAUCCCCCGAUCAAAAUAAGAUCGCCGAUCCUGGAUGUGCAUUUGCAUCCGCAAUUCGGUCUAACCUGGAACCUUGUAGCUGACUUUGGCAUAUUGGGAUCAACUAUCUUAGCAGUCAUUACCCAUGGUACCACUGAUGUGCAACAUGGUCAGACAAUCUACCACGAUCGGACCGUCACCAUCUACCCAGGUAUUCCAUUUAGUAUUAUAUUUUUUAACCCUCUCGCCUUCUCUUUCAUUGUUGUACUACUUACUAGUACUAGUAGGAGUACUUUUUACCUUGGAGGACGUGUAUAGCUAGCUAGGCCCUUGAAGACUUGAACCCACUAGCUGCCACCACUUUUGUUUUUCCAUGUCUUACCAUCUCAUCCAUGUAGCCAAGAGUGGCUAUAUAUAAUAAGCCGGUUAUUUUACUUCCGUUAUACCGGAGUAGUACUAUUUGCUGCACAGUAUUACUGACCGCCAUAUUGGACAACAUUAUUAUGCAUGGACCUUGACUAUGUACGUCACCAUGUGUCCAGAUCUGAGAUACCGCGUGUACCAGAUGAAUGAUGCCGAGUUUGACCCCCGUGAUGCUACGUGGGUGCCAAGGAACACUCUUGGAGAGUACUCGCUUUUCAUUGGGGACAGCUACCCCAUUGUGAAGCAGGUGCCACCUUCCGUGCAUGACACCGAAGGCCUACCGUUCAUGAAGCAUGGUUGUGUCUUCAGUGCGCACCACCGGAUGAACGACAUGUUGGGACAUACUAUCCCUGAUUUAUGCCGCUUCAGCUUGGAUGAGUCUCCAUCGUGUGGAACCGGACUAGAAAGCUGUGAUAAUGAUUCCCGUUGCCCACCGCUAUGGAUCGUGCCAUCCAUGAAGAACACCUGGGACUGGAACCUGGAGGAGGACAUGUGGCCCAUCUAUAACGUGUAAGUGGACUAUGGUAAAUUGUGAACGGUAGCGCUGUGAAUAUAUGUAGACUAGUCGUGCACAAAUUUAUCACAUGAAUUGGAGAUGAACUUGUGUGGCAUAUUGGCAUUUGUCCAUUAGAAUUUAUUACUAGUAAAUGUGUUAUGUGUACAUGCAACUUGUGUGGUUGUUGCACGGGCUCCAACAUGCUCUUUGAGAAAAAAGGUGGCACAACUUUGGAUAUAGGUGACAUGGCGGCAUCAUACAGUAGGAUCAUUCGCUAUAGUUGUAGUAUACUCCUACUAGGAUGAAAACUCCUAUAAAACCUUGCGCUUGGCUCUUUGCCUCUUCAGGAGGUUCAACAGUUCGUUGUGUGAACCUUGCACUUGGCUCUUCGCCUCUUCGGAAGGUCCAACAAUGAUGAUACUACAGUACAAUAUGCUUCUGGCAAUCUGACACCGAUUGAACUACUGCACGUCCACCGCGAGGGUGAGGGUGAGGGUGAGGGCAAGGGCGAGGGAGAGGGAGAGGGAGAGGGAGAGGGCGAUGUAGUCAAAACCCUCUCCUCGUGAUGCGAGCCAUCAUGCGCGUGGGCGAGGGAGAGGCGUAGUAAGCAAGCUUCUCCUCGUUCGGCGAGUUGACGGGACACAUGAAAGCAGUACUAGUACUAGUCCAUACUGCGCCCUUUCCGGUUAAUAUGGCUUAAUUCGAAAUGAGAAAAAUACACUGGCGGUCAACGUAUGUAACAAUACACUCUUUAUGGUCACUAUAUAUAGUUUUGCGGUGAUUAUACGAUCACUAGCUCAUCGUAGAGCACCGUAUUGCACCCUACUGACUGGCCACAUAGUCGACGUGGCACUUUCUUGACUGGUUAAAUUGUCACCUGGUUUCUGGGUCCCACAUGUCAGUUGGCAGAGCAAAGAAAUCAGUUAAAAAAACUUUACGCAGGCAUGACAGGAGUCCAACCCUUGCGCGUGAACCACCCUAGCUGUGUAUGUGAGUGCAUGCACGUGUACUCCCUCGGGCUUCCAACAAAGAGUGUACAUCGGCUAAAAAACAAAGAGUGUACAUAUACACUUCCAAUGCAUUUAGCCUUUAAUCUAAAUCGAUAUUGAUUGACUAAUGCACCAACUUGUGCUCUUAGGCUACAUGUCUAUCCUUAAUUACAGCAUGCAAAAACCUUCAUCUAAUCUUCUUCUCUCAAUGGUCGCAUGCACACAUAAGUCGGCUACUUUUGGGCAUUAAUUAUGCCCUGGUCAAUGUGUAAAUCUCUAAAUGUACAGUCUUUCACGAACGUAGGGAGUAGGUUGAGCACUUGAGCGUGAGCGUGUGUAUUUCGUCGCGUGAUGUGUGCCGCAUGGGUGCCUGAGUGUUGCAUGCGUCCAUGUGUACGUGUGAGUGUUGCAUGUUGCAUGCAUGCAUGAGGCUUUUACUCCCUCCCAUUGACAUGUUCAUAUUUCAAGCUUCCUCUAUUGCCUCCAUAUGGUGAUACUCCCUCUGUUCCCAAAUAUGGAGUAAAAGCCUCCCUCUAUUCCCAAAUACGGAGUAUUCAUCUGUCUAGAGAUUUCAAGACUACGUACAGAGCAAAAUGAGUGAAGUGAUCGUAGAGGCAUCGGGAUACUGUAGAUAGGAAGUCUUCGCUAUCCAUUAUUCCCCAUCUCGGCCAGAGAGAACUAUUCAACUAGUCUUUGCAGUGAAGUGACAAUACACGCUACAGCAGAUGGGACACUUAAUUUAUAAGCUAAACCAACGUGUUGGUGUUACUAAAUCAGCCUUACCCAGUACUGCCAUCAUGUUUGCCAGUAGAGAACGCUUCCGCAAAUACGCAUACGCACCUCUCUCCUCCAUUAACUGACAUAUGGGCUCUCUUGAGGUAGACCCACAUGUCAUCGGUGUAACUAUUUACACUCCGAAGGACGGUAUAUCCUGGUAGUAGUACUAGUAGAAUUGAGAUUUAAUGCACUUUCUUCCCCGUCUUUCACUCUUCUUCCUCCUCUCUUCUUAUUCCUCCUCUCUUCCCCAUCGUCGGCCACACACCAUUUACCCCUGCUCACUGCUCGCCCGCCCGCGCCAUCUUCCUUGGUAGCUCGCGCGUACCAUAUCCCCCCGCUCACUGCUUGGCCACAUGAGGAGAAGCUUCUUCGCUCGCCCGCCCGAAUCCACUUCCCCACUGGCUCACAGGCACCAAAAACCCCAAUGGCAGAACCGACUAACACGCAGAGCCGCAAUUGGAAUUCCCUCCCUGAUGUUCUCUUGGAGCAUAUCUGUAAUUGUAUGGACCUACUCAGCACCGUCCAUCUGGCCGCAUGCUCGGUGUCUUUGUACCGUCUACUCAUCUGCAACCGGCCAGAUAUUUUCAAGACACCCUGCUUGCUGAUGCCCAAUCCUUGCAGUUGGCCCAGAAACCGACUUUACGAUCCUACGGAGGUUGCCGUGGUGCCCCUCGACAUGCUACCUGAGGGAGUCCUGGAUUAGGGGGUGUCCGGAUGGCCGGACUAUGACCUUUGGCCGGACUCCCGGACUAUGAAGAUACAAGAUUGAAGACUCCGUCCCGUGUCCGGAUGGGACUGUCCUUGGCGUCGAAGGCAAGCUUGGCGAUACGAUAUGAAGAUCUCCUCCCAUUGUAACCAACUCUGUGUAACCCUAGCCCUCUUCGGUGUCUAUAUAAACCGGAGAGUUUUAGUCCGUAGGACGAACAACAAUCAUACCAUUGGCUAGCUUCUAGGGUUUAGCCUCUCUGAUCUCGUGGUAGAUCCACUCUUGUACUACCCAUAUCAUCAAUAUUAAUCAAGCAGGAGUAGGAUUUUACCUCCAUCGAGAGGGCCCGAACCUGGGUAAAAACAUCGUGUCCCUUGUCUCCUGUUACCAUCCGCCUAGACGCACAGUUCGGGACCCCCUACCCGAGAUCCGUCGGUUUUGACACCGACAUUGGUGCUUUCAUUGAGAGUUCCUCUGUGUCGUCGCCCUUAGGCCCGAUGGCUUCUUUGAUCAUCAACCACGACGCGGUCCAGGGUGAGACUUUUCUCCCCGGACAGAUCGCCGUAUUCGGCGGCUUCACACUGUGGGCCAACUCGCUUGGCCAUCUGGAGCAGAUCGAAAGUUACGCCCCUGGCCAUCAGGUCAGGUUUGGAAGCUUAAACUACAUGGCCAACAUCCGCGGGGACUUGAUCUUCGACGGAUUCGAGCCAUGACCGAGCGUGCCGCACUGUCUCGAUGGGCAUGAUCUAGCUCUGCCGCCAGACAGUGCCUAGAGCGCCGCUCAGGUGUCCGCUCCGACCAUUAGCCCGGAGCCGACUGCGCUAACUAGGGACGGACGGUUAGACGCCGCCCCAGGAGCCGCAAUCUCUACGGCGAUAGAGCCGAAUACCAACCUAGUCCUUUGCAAGGCCUGGGACUCCAGGGUGCCGGACUCCGUUCCGGACUCCGUAUAUCCCGCACCUCUUCCGAUCGAACCCGGUUGGGCUCCAAUCAUGGAGUUCACCGCCACAGACGUCUUUCAGCAAUCGCCCUUUGGCGAUAUCCUGAAUUCACUAAAGUCUCUCUCUUUGUCAGGAGAGCCCUGGCCGAACUAUGGUCAGCAUGGUUGUGAUACGGACGAUGAAGAAAUUUGAGGCCCACCCACCACCCACUUCGUAGCCACUGUCGACGAUUUAACCGACAUGCUCGACUUUGACUCCGAAGACAUCGACGGUAUUAACGCCGAUGAAGGAGACGACCAAGAACCAGCACCUAUAGGGAACUGGAAAGCCACCUCGUCAUAUGACAUAUACAUGGUGGACACCCCCAAAGCAGGGGAUGGCGAGGAAAAAACGAAGGAUGACCCCUCCAAGAAGCAACCCAAGCGCUGACGUCCGCGGCACCGCUCUAAGUCCCGCCAAAGCAAAAAUGGUGAUUCUGGCACCGGAGAUAACAACACGCCGGACAGUGCCGAAGACAACCCCCUCCAGCAGGAUUCAGUGCAGGAGGAUGAAGGAGCCAGCCCUCAUGAGAGAGCGGCCGAUAGAGAGGUCGAGGACGACAAUUAUAUGCCUCCCUCCGAAGACGAGGCAAGCCUCGACGGCGACGAAUUCGCCGUGCCAGAGGAUCCCGUCGAACAAGAGCGUUUCAAACGCAGGCUUAUGGCCACGGCAAGCAGCCUCAAGAAAAAACAGCAGUAGCUUAGAGCUGACCAAGACUUGCUAGCUGACAGAUGGACUGAAGUCCUGGUGGCCGAAGAGUAUAAACUCGAGCCCCCCUCCAAGAGCUACCCAAAGCGCAGACUGCUACCCCAACUUGAGGAGGAAGCAACUAAACCUACAUCACCAGCGUACGAUGCGCCCGAUCGGCCACCCUGUGUCCGCGAUAGAGAGGCCUUCAGGCCCUUGACCCAAGCCGCACCCCGGCACCGCUCAAAACAUACCAGAGUACGGGGAGACGCAACAGACAUGCGAGACAUAUUGGAGAAUAAGGCAAGGCAAGCAAGAUCGAUCUACAGAUCGCAUGGGCGCCCCGCUUCACAUGACGCUAGCCGUCACGCCGGACAAGAUAAGUACGGCCAGGCCAAACACAACAGACCAAGCUCAUCUGAGCUGCGUCGUGAUAUAGCCCAAUACAGGGGCGCCGCACACCCACUAUGCUUCACACACGAAGUAAUGGAUCAUCAAAUCCCCGAGGGAUUUAAACACGUGUACAUCAAAUCAUACGAUGGCAUAACAGAUCCUGCGGUAUGGAUCGAGGAUUAUCUCCUUCAUAUCCACAUGGCUCGUGGUGAUGAUCUACAUGCCAUCAAAUACCUCCCGCUCAAGCUUAAAGGACCAACUCGACAUUGUCUUAACAGCCUGCCAGCAGAGUCAAUUAGUUGCUGGGAGGACCUGGAAUCCGCAUUCCUUGACAACUUCCAGGGCACUUAUGUGCGACCACCAGACACCGAUGACCUAAGCCACAUAAUCCAGCAGCCAGAGGAAUCGGCCAGGCAAUUCUGGACAUGGUUCCUAACUAAGAAAAAUCAAAUAGUCGACUGUCUGGACACCGAGGCCCUUGCUGCCUUCAGGCAUAACAUCCGAGACGAAUGGCUUGCCCGGCACCUAGGACAGGAAAAGCCGAAAUCUAUGGCAGCCCUCACGACACUCAUGACCCGCUUUUGUGCAGGAGAAGACAGCUGGCUAGCUCGCAACAAUAACAUAACCAAGAGCCCUGGCAAUUCGGAUACCAAGGACAACAAUGGCAGGUCACGUCACAACAAGCACAAGCGCCACAUUAACAGCGACAAUACUGAGGAUACAACAGUCAACGCCGGAUUCAGAGGCUCUAAACCUGGUCAGCGGAAGAAGCCAUUCAAAAGAAACCCUCCGGGCCCAUCCAACUUAGACCAGAUACUCGACCGCUCGUGCCAGAUACACGGCACCCCCGAACAACCAGCCAACCACACCAACAGGGAUUGUUGGGUGUUCAAGGAGGCAGGCAAGUUAAGUGCCAAAACCAGAGACAAGGGCUGCAUAGCGAUGACGAGGAGGAGCCCCGGCCGCCGAACAACAGAGGACAGAAGGGAUUCCCCCCGCAAGUGCGGACGGUGAACAUGAUAUACGCAACCCACAUCCCCAAAAGGGAGCGGAAGCGUGCUCUCAAGGACGUCUAUGCGUUGGAGCCAGUCGCCCCAAAGUUCAACCCAUGGUCCUCCUGCCCGAUCACUUUUGAUCGAAGGGACCAUCCCACUAGCAUCCGUCACGGCGGAUUCGCCGCAUUGGUCCUAGACCCGAUCAUUGACGGAUUUCACCUCACCAGAGUCCUGAUGGACGGCGGCAGCAACCUGAACCUGCUUAAUCAGGAUACAUUGUGAAAAAUGGGUAUAGAUCCCUCAAGGAUUAAACCCACAAAGACAACCUUUAAAGGCAUCAUACCAGGUGUAGAAGCCAGCUGUACAGGCUUGGUUACACUCGAAGUGGUCUUCGGAUCCCCGGAUAAUUUCCAAAGCGAAGAGUUAAUCUUUGACAUAGUCCCAUUCCGCAGUGGCUAUCACGCCCUGCUCGGACGAACCGCAUUUGCAAAAUUCAAUGCGGUGCCGCACUACGCAUAUCUCAAGCUCAAGAUGCCAGGACCUCGCGGAGUCAUCACGGUAAAUGGAAACACCGAACGCUCUCUCCGAACGGAGGAGCACACGGCAGCCCUGGCGGCGGAAGUACAGAGUAGCCUCUCAAGGCAAUUCUCCAAUCCAGGCGUCAAACGUCUGGACAACGUCAAGCGAGCCCGAAGUAACCUACAACAAAUCCAACUGGCACGUCCCGAGCAAGCAUAGCAGUGCGGCCCCAACCCCAGCCCUCGCCAGAUGGUGAUAUCGUUACCAUGCAUACAUAAUUACGCCUUAGAGAUACCGUGGGCAUAAGGGGAGGGGCACAAUUACGGCACUCCCAGAAUGCGGCUCAACCGCACUAAGGGGCUCCCUAUUCCGCCGUUUCCUUUUUAUACACUUUCAGGACCCAACUAUUCGGAAGGCCUGUCCGGCAACACACUCGCCGACCAUACGAUGAAACAACCAGGGAGAAAACAAGCCGCGUCAAAUGUCCAGGUGGUCUCUAUAACGAGCUUAAUACCUGUUUUACUUAAAAUCCCGCAGCUUGCCCCUGGAGGGGGACAUGUCAAAUAAUCCCAUCUCUUGCUUAUCACACUACUGGUAUCGUUCUGCUUUCGCAGCAGCCCUUUUUUAGUAAACAAUACAUAGCUCUUAUCUAUUAUUGUACUCAUUUAUUUUUUAUAUAUACAAAUAUGUUCAGUCAUGACAUUCUGCAACCGUACACUUUGGUACGGCCAAUACACCAGGGGCUUAAGCACCCCAUAACAUGGUGUGAGAAGACCGAACACUCUCAUGAGUGCGGCACCCCGAACUUAUAGCACUAUAUGCAUCGGCUCCGAAUCAUAUCUUUGGUCAAUAGUUGGGUUUGCCCGGCUCCCAUGUUUUGGUACCUUACGUUCCGCAAUGUUGGCUAAGGUAGCGCUGGGAGAACUACUGCGAUUGUGCCCCAGUUGAGCUGGGUUAACACCUCAGUAGAGAAAGCUAAAACUGACCGUCAUGAUAGUGCGAGAGACCGGUCGCUGCUCGCGAGGUUUUUCGAGUCCUUAAAGACUUAUGCCGCUUAGAGCGAGGAACCGGACUUAUCCGGCCUAGGCGUGGAUAGCGCCCCGAACUCGGUCUUCUGAAUACUAGGGGCUUCGCUGAAAUUUAAAAUUAUAGAAUUCUAUGGCCAAGUGAGAGUGAUAAAGCAUUAUAAGUCCGACGGCCUGGUUCGUUGUGCUGAGCGCCUCCCUAGAUGGACCCAAGAAUGGGAACAAGAGCGCUCAGGUUUAUCCCGAACACCCCAGCACUCGUGGCAUGGGGGUCGAAGCUGACGACUUGCAUCUCUCACAUUUGAUAAAUGACCGCACAGAAGGUAAUAUUUUAAAUUAACAAGCGUUGCUUAACGCAUAUGAACAAAGUUUUCAGCGUACAGGAUAACAGAUGCGAGUCUACUCAAAUAUUACAUCUUUGGAGCAUUCGUCCGCUAUACGGCGAGCACCCUUCAGGACGCCCUUAUAAUACAUCUCGGGCGUACGAUACUCCUUGCACGGCGGUGGCGCGUCCGUCAAAAGCUUCUCAGCGUCCAGCUUGCCCAAGUGCACUUUGGCACGGGGAAGGACCCGACGGGCACCUUCGAUAUAGACGGAGCGCUUGACGACCUCAAUCCACGGACAUGCGUCCACCAGCCACCGCACCAGACCGAAGUAGCUCCCAGGCAUGGCUUCUCCAGGCCAGAGCUGAGCUAUGAGGCCCUUCAUGGCCUGUUCGGCCACCUUGUGGAGCUCGACCAGCUGCUUCAGCUGGUCGCUCAGGGGCACCGGAUGCUCGGCCUCAGCAUACUGAGACCAGAACACCUUUUCCGUCGAUCUCCCCUCUUUGGCUCGGUUGUAUGCGGCGGCAUCAGACACACUACGGGGCAGAUCGGCGAACGCUCCUGGAGAGCUCCGGAUUCGGGUAAGUAGCAGAUAAUUAACUUUUAUAUACUUCCUUUGCAUAAAGAAUGCCUUACCCGCCACUAUCUUCUUCAUCGCCUCGAUCUCCUGGAGGGCCUUCUGGGCUUCGGCCUUAGCGUUUUUGGCACUCUCAAGAGCCAAGGUGAGCUCAGACUCUCGAGUCUUCGAGUCACGCUCCAAACUCUCGUGUUUUUCCACGAGAGCCUGGAGCUCUUGCCGCACCGCCGCCACCCGCGCCUCCUGCUUCUCUCGCUCGGUGCGCUCCAGGGCCACACUAUUUUCGGCCUUUGAGACUGCCUCCUUCAGGGUCGCCACCUCGGCUAUGGCCCCUGCAACAUUUAAGUUGGUCCUGUCAUUAUUUGCAACCAAGUAUUUCUAUAUACAUUUACAUGCGGUAUUACAUACCCUCCUUGUCCUCGAGCUGCUUCUUGGCACGGCCGAGCUCGUUCUCGGACCGCUCGAGGUUCUCUUUCAAGGCAUUGACCUCUGCAGUCAGUGCGGCAGAGGUCAACAGCGCAGCCUGCAUUCCCAUAUUGACAUAUUUUUAUUAGACUCUUACGUAUAUCUUUUUAGAUCCUCAACUCGGCUUUUCUUUUCGAACGCCGAACUGAGCAUCAUGGGCUACUGUCUAUGUGGUAACAUUUUUAUAUGUUUUUUAACACAUACCUCAAAGCCUGUUAACAGGCUUGUACAGGCUUCUGUCAGCCCGCUCUUGGCGGACUAAACCUUCUGAAUCACCGCACUCAUAACAGUAGGUGUUCCUCGUCGACGGAGGCGCCGUUAAGCACCUCCAGUAAAUUGUCCGACACCUCCGGAUGGACGGGGGUCACCGGAGUCGUAGGCUUGCCCUUCUUAUGAAGGCGCCGCCUAUUGGACUCUGGAACCAUUGAUGGUUCCGGAGCAGUGUCCGGCCAGGGGCCGGACUCAGAUCCCUCCGGGGCUUUACCCCCUUCAGGCCUGGAGUCCGGGAGAUCGCCUUGCGGCGCCUCCAGGACCACCUCCUCCUGGUUUAGUCCCUUUCGGGACUCCACCUCGGCGUCGUCCGCAGGGAGUGGGGAGGAGGCCAUCGGAAGCGAAUUGUUAUUCACGUCCGACGAAUUCGGGGAGCCGCUCGACGAAUCGCCGAGCUGAGCUCUGGGCGGACUGCAUAAUUAAAUUCGGCGUCAGAAAAUGCCAAAUAAUGGAGAAGCGCCAUAAGUUAUUCAAAUAUCCGGAUGCUUACGAUUUUGCCAGGGGCUUGACCCUAGAUGGCCAUUCCUCCCUGCCGUCUUUGACAUCGGAGGCAUAGUCCGGCAGAAGGGUCUUCCCCUUCUUGGACCCUCCGGCCUCCCCAGUUGGGGCGGCCUUUCUUUUCUUUCCUCCCCCCGUUGAAGGGGGAGAGGCUUCUUCUUCUUCUUCUUCCUCCUCCUCGUCUUCGGAGGCGGAGGGUGCGUCGGGGUUGUCGGGUGAAUCUGACACCGCCAGGCGCCGGGAACUCUUUCGGGUCCCCGUGGCCUUCUUCUCCGGCACCACGUGGGGUGCCGGAACCAGCAGCGUCGUUAAGCGAGUGUCCGCUGGGUCUUCGGGCAAGGGAUCCGGACAGUCGAUCUGUCCGGCCUUCUUCUACCAAUCCUGCUAAAGAGAUGGGAGUUUAGAUCCCGCAUAGAAUCAAAUCUAUGAAAAACAAAUACCCCGUAAAGGGAAAAUUAAGCUCACCGCGCUAGCUUGGCGCUUGGCACAGAAUCCGUGAUCCUCGGUGACGGGAGGGGAGACCUCGGAACUCUUGAAUAGCACCUUCCAGGCAUCCUUGUGCUUUGUGUCGAAGAGCCGAGACAGAGUCUGGUGCUGGGCCGGGUCGAACUCCCACAAGCUGAAAACCCGUCGUUGACACGGGAGAAUCCGGCGGAAGAGCAUGACCUGGACUACGGUGACAAGUUUAACCUUCCUGCAGAUCAGGUCUUUGAUGCAGGUUUGAAGUCCGGUCACUUCCGCCGAAUUACCCCACGACAGGCCCAUCUCUUUCCAAGAUGUGAGCCGUGUGAGGAUGCCAGAUCAGAAUUCGGGGGCCACUGCCCAUUCUGGGUCACGCGGCUUGGUGAUAUAGAACCACCCCGAUUGCCACCCUUUGAUAGUCUCUAUGAAGGCGCCCUCGAGCCAUGUAACGUUGGCUAUCUUUCCCACCGUGGCGCCUCCGCACUCCGCUUGGCGGCCGCCCACGACCUUCGGCUUGACGCUGAAGAUCUUCAGCCAUAGGCCAAAAUGAGGCUGGAUGCGGAGGAAGGCCUCGCACACGACGAUGAACACCGAGAUGUUGAGGAUGAAGUUCGGGGCCAGAUCGUGGAAGUCCAGGCCGUCAUAGAACAUGAGCCCCCAGACGAACGGAUGGAGAGGAAAACCCAGUCCGCGGAGGAAAUGGGGAAGAAAAACAACCCUCUCAUGGGGCCUGGGGGUGGGGAUGAGUUGCCCCACAUCUGAAAGCCGGUGCACGAUGUCGUCGGACAGGUAUCCGGCCUUCCUCAGCCUUUUGAUUUGCCCCUCCGUGACGGAGGAGGCCAUCCAUCUACCUCCCGCUCCGGACAUGAUUGGAGAAUGUCAAGGUGGGAAUUGCGGGCUUGGGCGUUGGAGCUCGAGCGCGCAGGGACGAAUAAGCAAAGGAGGAAGAAGGCGUGAAUGGAAAGGGCGGAUUCUUAUCCCCUUAUAUGGGUGGCCGAAACUACGAGCCCCCACCAGCCUAAAUAAAACUCGCUUAUCUCCCAAGCGCCGCGGUUAAUGGCGUGGUUGGGUUACCCACGCCCGUAUUGAUGAGAAUCCCGGAAUAAGGGGACACGAUCUCUGCUUUGACAUGACGUGCCAAGGAAACCGCCUCGCUAAACGCGCUGACGUGGAACGGUAAAAUGAAUGAAAGCCUGGCCGUGGCAUGAUGUCACGCUGCGGGGUACGUCAGCAGAUUAAAUUGGUGCAAAUAUUAUUCCUUCUACGGUGGCAUGUGGAACUUAUUUUGCAGAGCCGGACACUAUCCUGGUGUUCAACAUCUUCUAUGAAGUAUUCGGUGGAGGAACCCGCCUUGCAAUGCCGAAGACAACUUGCGUGCCGGACUCGUCGUCAUUGAAGCCUGGUUCAGGGGCUACUGAGGGAGUCUUGGAUUAGGGGGUGUCCGGAUGGCCGGACUAUGACCUUUGGCCGGACUCCCGGACUAUGAAGAUACAAGAUUUAAGACUCCGUCCCUUGUCCGGAUGGGACUUCCUUGGCGUGGAAGGCAAGCUUGGCGAUAUGAUAUGAAGAUCUCCUCCCAUUGUAACCGACUCUGUGUAACCCUAGCCCUCUCCGGUGUCUAUAUAAACCGGAGAGUUUUAGUCCAUAGGACGAACAACAAUCAUACCAUAGGCUAGCUUCUAGGGUUUAGCCUCUCUGAUCUUGUGGUAGAUCCACUCUUGUACUACCCAUAUCAUCAAUAUUAAUCAAGCAGGAGUAGGGUUUUACCUCCAUCGAGAGGGCCCAAACCUAGGUAAAAACAUCGUGUCCCUUGUCUCCUGUUACCAUCCGCCUAGACGCACAGUUCGGGACCCCCUACCCGAGAUCCGCCGGUUUUGACACCUACACUACCACUAACCGUCCACCUGUCCUUCAUGCGCGGCCACUACUGGGCAGGCAUGAAGGCCAACUAGAUCGUCCUCAUCCACCAAUCCGGUAGUCCGUGGUGUCUCGUGGAUAUAUACACCCAGCGAGAGAUCACCCUUCCAUCAUUGGAUAUCGCCGCCAUCGAGCCUCACGGCCCGCGGACACUCCUGCCUACUAUGCACGAGACGUGUCAAGCUUUUAGCUCGGCCUCUAUUUGCUGAAGGUUGUAAUCUGCGAAGUGCCCACACCAUCAGAAGACUACAUGGAUUACAAGCUCAUUGCCUUGUUCAACAUGAGAUUAGUCUUUCUGGAAUCCGGUCUCCAAACAUGGUUAUGGCUCAUCGUCAAUCCUAUAGAGGCAACAUUUCUGAAGUUAUAGUGCACGAUGGCAUUGUUUAUGCGGUAGACACACAGAUUGGCUGCCUAUACUGGUGGAAUCUAUCAUCGUGUAAUUGUUCUAUCUCAUCUCAUCUUUACCUUAUGAAUACAACUGCAUGUUCAUUGUUACAAAUUUAGAAUAGAUAGUAUGUCUAUAACCACAUCAUUGCUAUAUGUUCCUCUCAUUUCCUAGAUUUUUAUGACCACACAUGUUAUUGUUAGAGUUGAUGUGAGAACAAUUGUCAUCUAAUGAUUAUUAGAAUAGAUAUUAUGAGCUUAACCUGAUGAUUGCUAGAUGUUACUCUCAUUUCCAAGAUUUUUAUAACAACCCAUGUUAUUGCUUAGUGUUGAUAUGAGAAUUGUAGUAAGUGCUAUUGCAGAAUAUGAGUAGGCCCUCUCAUAGCUGUUUUCCUCUCAUUGUUACAUGUUGUUUGAACCAUGACAUAUUUCUAGAAUAUGAAAGCCAUUGGCUUAUUUUUUUUUAACUUGGGGUAUGAUUAUUACCACGGCAUUGCAAUUAUGUGUCUAUGAUAUGUGUCACUGUUAUAAUAAUCUUAAUUCCACACAUACUCUGAAUAUGAUUGUUUAUUUUUAUCCUUUUGGUCUCCAUUUGAAUUGUUGCAGCAGACGCAAAUGCGCUGGCAUUCAUGAUUCCAGGACCUGGAAUCACACCAGUCAAUGGGUGGUGGUUUAUCACUUGUUCAGCUGACGACGGUCAUUUGAUGCUCAUUCGCACGUACCAAAUUGACCAAACCAUUACAUCAAACCACAUGCAGUACAAUGCCUGGGGCAUUCGGAAGAUCCCAGCUCUGUUGGGCCAGGCGCAUUCAACUGGAGGUGGGUUUACAGCCUCGGCAACCACUCCAUGUUCCUCGGGCUCAAUUAUCUGAUCAUCCAACCAAUCAUCGAUCAUAUCACCGGCGAUGAUUACCAUGCUAUGCAACUUUCAUUCGCCAGGGGGGCUGUGUUUACACAUCAUAUCAUGGGUUUCAUGAAUCACCAUAUCUAGAGAUUCUUCGACACAGCUUGUUGCCAAGUAAUCUUCAGUGUGUGAAAGGCAUCAAGCUUCCAUGCGAUGGAUGGCUUUUGCAAACCCGACAUGCGGCGAUGUGGUUCAUGCCAACAGCAAAUAUGCGCAACUUGAUUCGUACUGAUAUCUAGACUGAGCCAUGUAUUCUGCUAUUGUAGCAUGACCCUUUUUUGUUGGAUAUUAUGUAUUGUUGUUAGUUUGAAGCACUCCUCUUAUUUGACGGAUAGAUACCUUUCUGGGAUCAAGUGCAUCCUAACUCACCUGCGUAGGAUAUAUAUAUAUAUAUAUAUAUAUAUAUAUAUAUAUAGGACACGGCUAUUCUGUUACUAGUAACAGAAUAUUUUUCUGUUACUCCCGCUCCCUAUAGAGUUCCGAUGGUGAUUUCCACCCGCCCAAUCAGUGCACGCAAAAAGAAAUGAAAAAGCCCACCCAUGCGAACCCUCUCGACCCCUCAUCUCUCUCAAGACCGGCCGCUCCUCCCCCCAAGUGCGCCUCCGCGCUGCUCCCCUCCCUCCAGCGCGCCGCCUAGCCGACCCACCCUCCAGNNNNNNNNNNNNNNNNNNNNNNNNNNNNNNNNNNNNNNNNNNNNNNNNNNNNNNNNNNNNNNNNNNNNNNNNNNNNNNNNNNNNNNNNNNNNNNNNNNNNNNNNNNNNNNNNNNNNNNNNNNNNNNNNNNNNNNNNNNNNNNNNNNNNNNNNNNNNNNNNNNNNNNNNNNNNNNNNNNNNNNNNNNNNNNNNNNNNNNNNNNNNNNNNNNNNNNNNNNNNNNNNNNNNNNNNNNNNNNNNNNNNNNNNNNNNNNNNNNNNNNNNNNNNNNNNNNNNNNNNNNNNNNNNNNNNNNNNNNNNNNNNNNNNNNNNNNNNNNNNNNNNNNNNNNNNNNNNNNNNNNNNNNNNNNNNNNNNNNNNNNNNNNNNNNNNNNNNNNNNNNNNNNNNNNNNNNNNNNNNNNNNNNNNNNNNNNNNNNNNNNNNNNNNNNNNNNNCCUCCCGGCGGUCUGGUGGUCCGGCGCGCCCUGCCUCCCACCUACUGGCGAUCCGCCGCACCUCCACCUCUCACGUCCGGAACCAGCCACCGCCGCCACCCCAAGAGGCAGCCACCGCCGCCACCCUGACCCAGCCACCACCGCUGCCCCUAAUCCCAGCCACCUCCGCCGCUGCGGGACCAAACCAUCGCCGCCUCCCCCGGACCCAGCCCACCUCCUCCCUUCUCUCAUCCUCACGACCUCCUUCGACCUCCUCAUAACUGCAUCAGGCCAAUACCCCGGCUGGACCUCACGGCCGCGCGUCCGUCCUCGAACUGCUGCGUGUGCUCCCUCGAACGGUCGGAUUUCCUGUCCUUCUCUCCACCAUAGUGUGCCGUCCUACUCGGCAGUCCAACUUCUUGCUCCAUGGUCGGUCGCUCAGGUAGCUGCGUGCAGGCCAACAUCUCCACGGGUAACAAGUUCUUCUAAGACAACUUGUUGUUGCUGCUGCACCUUCUCCUUCGACCAGACUAAGUGAAUUGUUCAGGUACCUUGUGUGUCUAUUCUCCACCUUAGUGUUCAGUAAAACAUUCAUCGUGUUGGUGAACUCAUAUACUACUAUUCAAUCAGUUCGAAAACGUAAACUUGGGGAGUUAAAAAAACAACACAUUCAAGGGGUUCGUUGGGGAGAACAAGUCGAAGUUCAGGUGUCAAAAAAAUGACAGUUCCAAAAGAUGAAACUAUAUAAGUUCAAUGUGCAAAAACUCAGUGGUUCAAAUGCGAAAAAAGAAUUUCGUCUAAUCUAGUUCCCAUCGUGCAUUCUUUGUGUGUAGAAUUUCAUCUAAUCUAGUUCGAAUUUGGUCUACUUGUGUAAAUCUGUCAGUUCAAGACAAGUUCCUUCUGAUGCUACAAAUUAGGUCCUUUGUGAAUAUUGCUUGUUUCAGAGAGAAACAGACUUUGUAAUUGCAUCACACGGUGUCCUGAACAACAUAUAAGAGAUAAGUAUGCAACCGUGAGUCUAUCUCGUAUGAGUAUUGAGGCCAAGUUUGCAAUGUGGCCGUGGCCAGUGCAUAGGACCAGGCCCGAGCACGUGCAUGCGUGUGCAACCAGUCCUCUAGUUCUCCCGGUUCACUGCAUGCCGCUCAUGGCGUCGCCCUUCCUUCCUUCCUCUUAAUCUUCUCUGCCAGCCGGCUGUGGCAUCCCAUGUGUUGCAGCUUCCAGCGUCGUCCUCUGCCUUGUCGGCACACAAGCCGUUCGCCUCAGCCACCCAGUCCGUUCACCAUUUCCAGCAGUGUCCAUUCAACGCUAGCAUGCAGCUACCCGCCUCCUAGAUUCAGGUUUUUUACAUGCUCAAAUGGGAAGCCUGACUUUGUAUCAGGCUACUCUUCUUACAAACACCUGAACUGGAACUCAAUCCCGUGUGUUACCGUCCUCUCAUCUAGUCUGUUUUAUUCUCAGGGACGCAUUCAUGGCUUCAUUCAACAAGUGGACUGUGGGCAGAUGUUGAUCAACAAGUCUGCGGUAUUAAGGUUAGCUGCUAGUACAUAUUAUGGAGUUGGGGACAUGAGGGAGCGAAUGGUACAUGGAUCGAUGGGUGUAGACUUUGUAGGUUGAGUUGAUUCUUCAAGAGUACUGAAGUUUCUUCAGGAGUACUGAAGAGCUUUAUUGUUCUUGGAAAAAUGAUCAUUAGCUAAAAUGUUAGCUCUGUCAUUCCAUAAUUAUUGAUUAAUUGUCUGGUCUGAUUUCAUGGUACGGGCAAAAGGAAAGAAAUCUUGCAUCGUUUGCAGAUGGUACAUAGACAGGUUUCCCAUUCAGCCGCCAACUCCACACUUAGUUCGCUAGCCGAUUAUAGCGAAAACAAAAGUUGGUAAGUUCAAAAUGUUCAGUCCUAUAAGUUCAUCUACUCUAUGUAGAAUUUUGUCCUGUGAGUUCAUCUACUCUAUGUAGAAUUUUACUUUACCUGAUGUCAUAUAUUGAGAUAACAUUACUCUAGUUCUUCCGUGUUUCUACUUUUUCGUGGAAGUUCUUCCAUAGUUAAAAAUCUGCAUCCCUAGAUCAGCCAUUAUUUACUUUAUCCUACUGUUAUUGGACUGCCCAAGAAGCUUGUCAUUGUAGAAGACAAAAUCUACAUUAGGCAAUACUCUUGCUUGUUCUGACUUCUUCUUUCUCUUCUAGAUCGAGUAACCGUUUGCUCUGUAGGUGUUUGUCCCUAUUCCAGUGAGCACUAUUCUUUUUUCUAAAUGCUUAUUUUCGGCUCCUGCAUAUGUGUUUGGGCAGUACAAAUACAUCGCCAUACUGAGUACAGAUGUGGCACCUUGGGAAGUACCAAAAAUACCAACUGCUUAGUAUUAAUAUGGAGUACAUCACCGUGUGGGUGGGUUGGGGCAAAAAACUUGUACAUGUUAGAAUGGUAGGCAGUAAUUUCACAUGUUUAGCCCUAUAAGCUCAGAAGAAAAGAAACCAAAAAUAUAUUUCAUGAAAACAAACCCCAUGAAGUUCAUUGGGAAAAACAUGAUAAGUUCAGAACGUUCAGUUCAGCACAAGGCUCUAGCUUAGUACAAAGUUCAGGCCAGUUCAUACUUGAGUUUUCUCAAUUGGUUAUAGCGAAUCUCCAAGAAGUAGAACAACCAGGCUUAAUUAUAUUGUUUGUUUCUGUGAGCAGAUAGGCGCAAACUCAAGGCUGGCGGUUGAGCGCCUCCUUAGGUGGGAUAGCGGCCCAGCGCACAGCCUCCCUGCUUGCCCUGCCUUUUCCCGCACCUGCCCACCUGGUUGGGAUACUUCUUCUCCGGCGAGGUUGCCAUGCUGCACGGCGCUGGCACACCACCACAUUUUCAGUCAUGUUCAGUUAAAUUUCAUAGAAAAGGUACAUCCCGAACAACAAGUACAGUUCAACAACAAGACCUGUAGUAGUUCAUCAUUAUAUAUCCAUCAAACAAAUCAAUGUUAUGUUGUUCUCAUACUGUCCUGUUUACAAAAAAAUAUGGUGCUUUGUUGUAACAAGUUGUGAGCUAAUGCAGUGAAAAAAAUUAAAUUAUGCACCCAAAAGUUUUAGUUGCUAUAUGGGGAACCCAGAGGCCAUUUAUUUUGGUUUAUAGUUCAGCUUGUCUGUUAUUUUCAGUCUGUAUGCUUUAUUGUGCAUAAUCUUGAGGAAAUUCCCAAAAAUCAUGUGUGUACUCAAGGUAAUUAAGUGGCUUUGUAAAUUCUGACAGUCCAUCCCAGACUAAGCCAACAGUACGUCUUAGUCUUGGGUUUGUGCGUGACAUGUAAUCUGGUUUCAUAGAUGCUUCUGCUCAAACUAGAAAUACAAUAUUUUAGGUAACCCUGCUAGUUCAAUGAUAGUACUUCUAUUUUAUGUUUAUCUUACAAGAUGAAAAUAUUGAGGCUGGUCCUGUUGCUAGUUUUUCAUAGAUUUUCUAAGUAGCCUGAGACCCGUCCUGUCCUCUAUACAGAUUCAGAGUUUAACACAUAAAUGGAAGUUUGUUCUCAAAACUGAAAUUGUUCUACAUGUACUGAUAUAUUAGUUGUUAAUUAUUAGAGUGUUUCGUUCUUGCAGAAUAAAAAUAUGUUGUAUGUAUUGCUUCUUGGCCCAGCUGAGAGAACCCUCAUGUUAAAAUAUAUAAAGCAGUUUUGAAGCAAUUCCAAGUGUCUUUAGAAGCAUUCAUUGUUAAAAAGCAAUGAUAACCUCCUCCGUUCGAGAUGAGCACCGAUCAUCGUCCAGGUUCAGCACUAGGUGCCGUCCAAGUUCAAAGAGGGUUGUAUGAAAGUACAUAAGUUUGUUUUAGUGAGAAAAAAUGUGGGGUUUUGACAAUAUUCUGUAUCAUUCAUUUGUUCAACCUAAGAACUUGGCAAUAUUCGGUCUAUUUUUCUAUGAUGAAGGCACACAUGGAGUCAUGUGCAAAUGGUUAUCCCCCUAGUGCUUCAAAGAUUCGUACUUUGUUUCUUCAAAUGAUAAAAAUGUGGGGUUUUGACAAUAUUCUGUAUGAUUCAUUUGUUCGACCUAAGAACUUGGCGAUAUUCAGUCUAUUUUCCUAUGAUGAAGGCACACAUGAAGUCAUGUGCAAUGGUUAUCCCCCUAGUGCUUCAAAGAUUCAUAUGUUGUUUCUUCAAAUGAGAAAAAUGUGAGGUUUUGACAGUAUUUUGUAUGAUUCAUUUGUUCAACCUUAGAACUUGGCGAUUUUCAGUAUAUUUUUCUAUGAUGAAGGCAUACAUGAAGUCCUGUGCAAAUGGUUAUCUCCCUGGUGCUUCAAAGAUUCGUAUUUUUGUUUCUUCGAAUGUGUUGUGUGCCUGUUUGAUGAGGUAAAGCAAAGUAAGAAAGUGAAAAUGUCAUUAAAGACACUUGGAAGUACAAAUGUAAAAAAUAAAUAAGUUCUGAUUCUUGUCAGGUAGGAAGUUUGGAGAAGAAAACAUGAGUUUUUAAAAGAAGGGAAUGGUAAAAAUGUAAGUCCGUUCAACUAUAUAAACCAUAAAGGUACGAUGGUGAUGACACCAUCAGUAAGGAUAAGGAUGAAAAAGAAAAUUAAAAACUAAAACUAAAAGAACAUCGAGCGAUUAUUUUUUGAGAAGUACAAACUGUCUAGAACCAUAAGUACCAUAAAUUUAAAAUAAAAAUUGCAUCAGUUCUGACUCAAGGGACAAUAGAUUUGCAAAAAAAAAUUGUACUAGAAAAAGUUCGGAGGGAAAAAACAGCUUAAUAAAUGAAAAAAACGACAAGUUCACAACUAUAAAAGUUGUAUGUUCAAACAUGAUGUCUCAGAUAAGUUUGAGAAAAAGCUCAAACAAAAGAAAAGCCCACAGAAAUUCAAAUGAUAAAAGUUCAAGUCGCAAAACGCGAGAAGUCCACAUCGUUGCAAAAAAAUGAGAAUUUGAGAAAACUUCAACAUGACUAAGUUUCACAUUUUCAAUAGCUUUGCGUAGACGUUGAACUGAAUCCUUUGACCUCUUUGAAAGUUUCGCAUUUGACAAUUCUUGUGAGAUUUCGUGGACAAGCAAAUAAGAAAUCUGGCCCUUUCAAACAGUAAAUGAAUUAACUUAAAAAAAUAGUAAAUGGAUUUGGAUUCCUGGACAACAUUAAUUGAUGGAUGCAAAUAAGCAAUCUAGCCCUUCCUCUCAAAAAUAGAAACCGGAAACUUGCUAUAUGUACACAAUUAAGGAACAAAACAGCCUACUCUGUUUGGGAAGAACACAACACAACAAGUACUAUGUACAGUACAACUGUGCUCUGCUUGGCUGAACGAUUAUAGCUCCGCACGGCG
This 45596-nucleotide long non-coding RNA is filed under the name Triticum aestivum (bread wheat). RNAcentral describes it as "long non-coding RNA (TAES_LNC016817)". The record is from RNAcentral. Lineage: Eukaryota; Viridiplantae; Streptophyta; Magnoliopsida; Poales; Poaceae.